This 60285-nucleotide long non-coding RNA is filed under the name Setaria viridis. RNAcentral describes it as "long non-coding RNA (SVIR_LNC010156)". Lineage: Eukaryota; Viridiplantae; Streptophyta; Magnoliopsida; Poales; Poaceae. The record is from RNAcentral.
CUUUUUUUUUGUUAUCCUUUUAAUUUAUAUUGUAGUCUUUUUUUUUCAGUCGUCCGCACGAUUUUCAUUUGGACCUGUUACAUUUGAACGUGGACUUUAAUUAUCCCUGAUGUAUAUUGACCUUUUGUUUGUAAACAUAGCAAGAUUGUGAUAUAUUCUGAAGCUCGUUUCGAAGUGAUUCUACUCGUUAUCAUUGGCAAUGUUGACACUGUAUACAGAGUGUUCAGGAAGGGUGCAUUCUAUUGUUCAGAUGACGUGAACAAGUUCUAUUCAUCGAAACAAACAAGCACAGGCUCUGAAUCAACUGUUCAAGAUCAUUUCUCCAUAAUCUCCAAGCCUUAUACCACACUAAUUUCUUGUGAUCACGUCAACUCACAUUCAAUUACUGGUAAGCAGCACAGCACAUUUUACAACCCAAAAAAGGCACACCUAACCGGAAACUAAAGCAGCUCAACACCAUUAUGAAGAACCCAAAGUAAAAUAGUUGCACACCACGUUUGCAGCCAUGGUAUGCCAAACAAUACUAAGGAGCAAGUACAGCGGAUACAAUUCUAAGUUUCAUCGAAACAACAAAUGGAAAAGAGCACAGAAGUUCAUCGAAACCAAAAAAAAAAAAGGAAAAGAACAGAAGGGUUCGCUCGAUCUGCUAAAGGCAAUUUCGUCCUAACCACCUAUAAACUUAGACGACUAUAGUUCGACCCAAUGUCACUAUUAUAACAUGCAAAUACUCCGUGCAAGCAAACUAAACAUCAGAAGCUCAAUCAGCUCUGUAGAGUUGCUGUGCGAUGUGCCUGCCAUGAGAUAGAAGACGAGUAGCCGCUGGUGCCGUGAGGAACAGAGAGAGAAGUUGCAGGCCGCUGGUUUGCUUGCUCGUCGCUGACAGAAGCGGAGAAGGAGAUGCUGUGCUGCUGAUUGGUUCGGCAGAGAAGAUGGCUGGUGCUUGGAUUGGCUGCUUGUCUGCCUGUGGAGGAGUAGGGAUCGAUACUUGGCAGUGGAAGAGGAAGAACAGAGGGAGAUCGAUGGGGCUUCUGCUGAUUGGUGUCGUGGAGAAGAAAGAGCAGAGGAGAAAGAGCUGGGAGCGGCGGCAACCAGGGACAAGAAAGCCGCCUCCCGCGAACCUGCAGCCGCUCGAUCCGCGUAGCCAAGGAAAUCUCGGGCCUGUUCGCUUCAGCUUAUUCAGCCGGCUUAUCAGCCACCAAACAGUAUUUUCCUCUCACAACAAAUCAGCCGUUUCGGCUUUUCAGCCGGCUUAUAAGCUGAAGCGAACAGGCCUUCAGUACCGUCGCUUCUUUGCACCAUCCGCGUCACCGGGCGCCGCACGCUUCGACACACCCGCGACGGCGGAGCUGCCUUUGCCGCUCGCAGCAUCUCCUGGAGCUAGGGCCGUGUGCAGCGGCGGCGGCGGCGCGCGAGGGGAUCCGGAGGCACCAACUGGGACGCGGAUUCUCCGGAGGUUCGUGCGGCACACGCGCGACGUCGACGGCCGCCAUGUCGGCGGCGCCGAAUUUUGUAAGAAGCUUCCUGGUUUGGAUCGCGAUUAAUAAUCGCGAUCCGGUUAUUUGCGUAUUGCCCCCCAUAUUUUACAAACACCCCCUCUAUUUGGAUCAAGAUUAAUAAUCGAGAUCCAAUUAUUUUCAUAUUGUCCCCCGGAUUUUACAAACAACCCCCUAAUUUGGAUCGCUAUCCGAAUAUUUGCAAAAGGACCCCUAGCCCUGGUUUGGAUCGGCUGGCGUCCGGCGUCCUUCCCGCCGGCUACCUGCUCCUGCACCAGCACAGGCUCUCUGGCAUCCCUAACUCCUGCCGUGCCGGAACAAGCCGCACAAGCAUAAGCACAUCCGCAGCCAUGUCGAGCUCACCGUUGUCCGCGCACGAGAAUACGCGCGGCAGGGACAUGGCCGCCGUGGCCAGAGGAGAGCCGGUGCCCAGGCCCCCGCACGAGCCGGGCAGCGUCGCGGACUCCGACGCUGCCGGACGACGUCGCCGACGGGCGCCGCCCCGUGAUCGAGCUGCGCACGGCGCCGACCGACUUCUGCUUCCCGACCCAGAACCAGACGCGGCACUGCUACGUGCGCUACCCCGAGUACCACCGGUGCGUCAAGGCCAAGGACGGCGACGACCGGACGGAGUGCGACAAGUUCCAGCGCUACUACGGGUCUCUCUGCCCGACGGACUGGGUCGUGGAGUGGAACAGGCAGAGGGAGGAAGGGAUCUUCCCAGGGCCUAUCUGAACCAGCCGCCGAUGAACUUGUCACCGGCAAUGAUCUCUUUCAGCUUGCGUCUGGUAGAAUGUACGUGUAAUCUAAUACCACUAGAACGUGUAACUGAGUUUGUUCAGACUUCAGCAGAGUUCAGGCCUGUUCUUUCUUGGUUCCUUGCCUUGUGUGACUUUAUCGUGCUGCUUUCUCUUGGAUAAGAAAGUACCCGUGGAGACAAACAGAUGACGAGAAACAAGAUAAGCCUUCGUGCAGUCGUGCCCGUGUAUGUGUGGCCAUAUUUCCUCGCAGGAACACACAUCCAGAACCGACCAAAAAAUAUCAGAAGAGCUCAUAUCAGAAACAUACAAAUGCGGAUUUGGUAAAAGAGACGGCAAAUAUCGACACCGUCAUCCUAGGCUCCUAGCUACCUCACCCGAGAGAGAAGCACCGUAUCGCCAUGGCCACUUUCUUGGGCAGCUCGCCGGCGUUCCUCGCCCGCCCCGUCGCCAAGCCGCACAGCAUCUCCUGCGCUCAGCCCCCGCGCCCGCCCAGCGUCCAGAACCAGCCGCCACCCGGCGAGCAGCCGCAGCAGCAGUCCGUGCAGGCGCAGGCGCAGCCGGCGGCGAGGCCGAAGCGCGCGGGUGGCGCGGACUCCACGGACUGGGUGGCCUCGUCGCUGACGCGGCGGUUCGGGAUCGGCGCCGGGCUCGCGUGGGCCGGGUUCCUGGCCGUCGGCGUCGUGUCCGAGCAGCUCAAGACCCGCUUCGAGGUCGCCCAGCAGCAGGCCAACACCAAGUCAGUGCCACUCACCCAGCCGUGGCCGUGUUCGUUAGAAUAAUUCAGUUACAGAGGCCCGCCAUUUCCAUCCCGUGCCAGCCUGAGGCCUGACACUUGUUGUGCAGGGACGUGGAGCAGGAGCAGGAGGUGGUGCUCCCCAACGGCAUCCGGUACUACGAGCUGCGCGUCGGCGGCGGUGACGUCCCGCGCCCCGGCGACCUGGUGGUGAUCGACCUGCAAGGCCGGGUGGCCGGCGGCGGCGGGGAGGCGUUCGUGGACACGUUCGGGGAGGGGAAGCGGCCGCUGGCGCUGGUGAUGGGUUCCCGGCCCUACACCAGGGGCAUGUGCGAGGGCGUCGAGUACGUGCUGCGCUCCAUGAGGGCCGGCGGCAAGCGGCGGGUGAUCGUCCCGCCGGGGCUCGGGUUCGGCGACGACGGCGCCGACUUCGGGGAGGAGCACGUGCAGAUACCGCCCGGCGCCACGCUCGAGUACGUCGUGCAGGUCGACAAGGUGUCCAUCGCGCCGGCGUGAGGCGCGGGUAGAUAGAUCACAGUCGCCAUGAGACAAGUUUCUCCUUUAAUCGUCGAGCUUGCACACUGUUUAUCUCAUUAAAUGAACUGUUUUGGGGGAGUUUUGCUUCUCAGAAACAGAUUUUUUUAAAAAAAAUAAACUUUCUUGCAAGCUACCUAAUCCUAUCUUUCAAGUUUUCGUUACUGCCUGGCUUUUGUUUCCUUUGGUUCCAAAUCGACCUGUAUAGAUAGGAAAACAAAAGAAAAAAAUGCUUCUGCAGGGGAGAAGGCAGGGCAACAAGGUACAAGCUCAGAAGUCAGGAGUAUACUAACACGAGAAUAUAAGAUACAAAAAUACCAUGGCUGCGUAACAGAUACUGCCAAAUUGGGAUACUCACUACUGGCUCACAGUUCGCUCAAGUCACUUAGAAGAUGCACUUGUUGCAUGAUCUAACUCACUACUGAUCUGCGCAUGGAGACAAAGGGGGCACAAAAGGAAAUCUAACUUUUAGCCAACAAGAUACAUGUUUCUGAGCCUCACGAGUGAUAAAUAAGGAUAAACUUCAGUGCAAGCCCUUGGAACCGAAGGGGAAAUAAUUGCCACGUACACAAACAACAACCUAAAUUUAGGCUGACCCGUCAAUGGGUUCACUGUAGUUCUGUCAAAAACAAAAGGAAACCAUAAAUACACUGCAGGCAUAUACUAUACAUGUCUGUCACUGAAGACCAGCAGAACAAUUUGGCACGCUUCACUCAACUGAUAGGAUCACUUCCCGGGCCAGGAUUGUAGAGGGGGAGCUCAAGGAGGAAGGCGACCUUGAACCAUGCAGGCAGGGCUCCAUAAACAGCAGGUGGCAAUGGGAUAAGGGGACUGAAGAGAACAAUAAACACGCUAAUCAGUUAAUCUGCGCUGCUGAAAACCAGGGGUUGGACUCUGGAGAGAAAUUUAUGUCUACCUUGUAGUGUUCUUGUAUACACGGUAUUCCUCCAAUCGUCCAUAGCGCUUAUCAGCAGAUGACUUUGCAAUAGAAAUAUGAAGGAUAUAAUGUGUUAGUAUUUUGCAAGCACUAUAGUUAUGCCAUCUGAACGCACAAAAACAGUUGCUGACCUCAAGGAGUGGGAUUCCACUAACGAAAAGUAGCAGAAGUGUCAGGAAUAUAGGUCCCAAAAUCACAAGCCAUUCAGCACCUGAGAGAACUGGGGUUGAUGCUACAAAUACUCCCCACCAAAGGAAUAUCUGCACCAGAUUCAAUUGUUAUACAGAUGUCGGUCACUUUUCAAUAUUGAUGUAUAUGAAUAAAACUAAUCGGCAUCAUAAAGGCUGUAUGUAGAAUAUUCUGUACUUGCAAUCAAAAUUCAUCAGCAUGUAAACGACAAUAUGCAUUGAGAUCACUACACAAACCAUUACUAACAAGUAGCUAUUCUAAGGGCAGCUGAGUUUUUGCUAUCUUACUGAAUUAACUGGAGUAUACAAGGUCAGUGAGUGUACAUGAAAUAACUAACCUCCCCAAAGUAAUUCGGGUGGCGAGUAUACUUCCAGAGUCCCACAUCACACCACUUUCCCCUAUUACUUGGAGAGUUCUUGAACACAAGCUUCUGCUGAUCAGCUGUUGCUUCUACGCAUAUCCCAACCAACCACAUUAUCCAACCAAUUAUAUCCCUGGCUUCAAUCGGGGGGUUUCUGUCACUUGCAUUCACAACAGUGACAGGCAAGCUGACAGACCAAACCCACACAGCCUGCCCAAGCAGGAAAAAUGGCCUGGUGAGUAUUCUUGUGAAAAUCAUGAUCAGAUCUAAUAGCAGAACACAAGUAGCAAAAGGUACCUGGAAAGUCCAGAAAACUGCUAGUUUCCCCAAAUUAUCACGCAUUUCAUCAAACCGGCGAUCUUCACCCCAUUGCAUAAUCCUGGAAAUUACUAGGAAACAGAAGCAUUAGCAAUUUAUUGAACAACAUCGACAUGUUUUUGGUCAUGCUAAAUGAUUAUUUGUCAUGUAACAGCAAUACAGCAUACCUCAUCAAUAAAAACAGUCCCAGACGAAGGCCCCAGAUUGUGACAAGCACUGUCAGCACAAUCUGAAACAAAGAUCAAGUUUUUUUCAUGCACAAAUUUUAAAAUGAUCUUUAUUUAUUCCUACAAAGGAUAUCGCAAAUAAACUAUUACUGCAGUGUAAGGGCACUAUCCUUUUGUUUCAUUUCCUUUUAAAAGAAACAAAGCUAUUUUUGAGACUUUAUGCUCAUCUCUUUCCCAGCAUUUUUUUAUAGAUUUUAUAGGAAGAAAAACAUGCCUACUCCCUCCAUCCCGAAAAACAUGUCAUUCUAGGAAUUUUAGGACAGAUUAAUAAGAAGGUAAAAUGACCUUGUUUGCCCCUGUUUAUUAGCCAUAUUUGGCACUAAUUGAUAGCCGAAUGCUCAUGCACAUACCAAAUAGGGUAAAAUGACUUGUUUUUUGGGACAAAUUUUGAAUCCUAGAAUGACAUGUUUUUUGGAACGGAGGGAAUAUAUUCCUUUCCUACGAAGAUGGAAUCAGAUGACCAUGUCUCGAUGGAUUCACUUAACAUGAUUAAAAAAUUUCAGUUUCUAAUUUUAACGUAAGCGACAAAAUAGUUCUGCUAGCUUUAACAACAAUGUAAAAUUUGCAGCAUCUAAGUUUAACAAUUGUUCUAAUCUAAUUUUAAUGUUACUGACAAUUCUGCUAGUUUUACAAACAUUGACAAAUUUGAGGCAUCUAAUUUUAAUGUAAGUGGGUGAAGCAAUUCUGCUAGCUUUACAAACAUUGUUGAAUUUGCCGUGUCUACUAUAAUUAUCGAAGCAAUCCUGCUAGCUUUGUAAACUUUGUUAUUUAAUAUUAGAUACUGCAGAGGUAGUUUUAACCGUGCUAGAUUGCCACAAAUACCAUAGUACACAGCACCUCCAGCUAAACAUCAAUAAAAUCACGGUAACUCCAGAGAUCUAUGACCUAGAGAAACAGAGAAUGCAACUCAAAAUUCCCAAUAAAUAGCUUGCGGGUCAUGCUGCAGCUACCAUAACUCACAUUUUCACUCAAUGACAGAAAUUCAGUAAGAAAAGGUAAAUCCAGUUUAUGUAAUCCACAUAGUCAACUGCUAGUAACAAAGUUGUUGCGGCAAUUGGCCAAUAGAUUUUGUUUCAAGUGUUUGCUCCAAAAAAAUAGACAGUGCAGCAUAAAUGAAAAGGCUCCAGUAGUUCUGAUGAAUUCAGGCUUUUUCCCUACUGAACCAACCAGACUAUGUUUACAUUGAAGCGAAUAGAUUUACCAUCAACAAACUAUUACCUGACGGAAAUGCCAUGCUCCCUUCAAAACUAGUGUUAGGAUGGCGAUUAUGACAAAAUUUGUACUGCCUGGAAAGAGGAACACAAAUCAUGGUGGGGAGAAAAAACAACAAAGCUAGUAUGCUACAAAGAACUUGUGUCAGUUCAGACUUCAGAGGCUGGUACACAGAUAACCAGCUUUAUCAGAUAGAUUGUCCAGAACGCAAGGUUGACUUGUAAAAAUAAAGGAUAGGUUGCAUGUAAGCUCACAAAAACAAGUAGGAAAAUUAUAGUACUGGAGAGAUUAUUAUAUGUCGGGCAGUAGUUGAUUGUUGGAGCAACGGAGGCCGCACAAACUGUCAUUAACCAAUCUUGCUAACGGUCAUCCAAACUGAACUCCCGAGGAAAACUAAUCACGACAAAAACAAUACCCUCCAAGCAUUAGCAGCAAACUAAAUUCACAUUCCCCGCCGGAAUUAUGCUAGAAAUUGCGCCUUAUUUAGUUAUUAAGGACAGCUAUGGAAAGUUGGCAACCCAUUCAAGCCUCAAUUAGGCGAGAGCUGGCCGAGGUAGUUACCUGCGAAAUCCGUGACCUUGUCGAACCGGAGGAGAGCCGUGAUGAUGAAGAACAUCAGCUGGUACCCCACCUACACGCACCACCACCGAGAAGGGAACGAGGGGGUUAGCAAACCCUCACGGUCGGAGAACCGCGCGUUCCAGAAUUUGCUCAAGGAGACGAGAGGGAAGGGGGGGAGUUCGGGGCUUACGGUGACGAUGGCGGUGAGCGCCAGGAAGUGCGAAUCCAGCACGGUCCCCAUGGCUCCGGGGUCUCUGUUUCGCCUCGAACCGCCUCGACGCAGCUCGUGGUGAUGGAGGCACGCGUUAAUUGCGAGGAGAGCUGUAGCGAGCGAGUAUUUAGCGAGGUGGGUUUGGUCGACGGCCGAUGCGGCGGAGGCCGGUGGGAGUCAUCCCCAUAGGCCACAGCCCCGGGGCGCGCUUGUGGCCAGGGUUGAGACAGGGAGGCUGGUGUUGGACCGGACCAUUCUGUGCUGCGACCGCGAAUACUUGCGCAGCGGGCUAUACAAAUGCUUGGCCCAAAGCGAAAGGCGCGGGGAGGAAGAAAAGGAGAACGGAUCACCAAUGUUGCACGCCGAAUCUCCGGAGAUGGAGAACGAGAUCGCCCACUUCUUUGAAGAGAAGAUUGCAGCCCACCACGGCACCACAUAGGAAACAAGUUACUGACAUCCUAACAGAAGUCGACAAUCUUGCAAUUACUGAUGAACAUUGUUAGCUUGGGAAAUUUUCAAAAGUCCUAUCUGGUUGUCAAAGGACCCGUUCUGUAACGCGAAUUUAUGAGAAUUCAUGCAGAAAUUAAAUUGUACUAGUAUAUGUGGCGAAAUAACAGGAGGGCGCCAAAUAUGCCGAGGGCGAAAUAACAGGACUAUGCCGAGGAAUCAUGACACAAUAACACACAUAAAUUAUAUCGUUACCAGACAAAUAUGCAUAUACUGACACAUCACACACGGAAGUGGAAGAAUCCACAGGCAAAGCGAGGAAGCCUGGAGAACGCAGACAGGAAAGAAAGAGUAGCGUGCUCGAUCAAGAUGAUUCAGCAACGCCAUCAUGCUCUUAGGACAGACAGAUUGCAAGAUGCACCCCCGACGAACUCAUCGACGAACCAUCCGACACCUACUCGUAUGGUAAUGCAGCAAGCGAACGGAACUUGAACGCAUCACGACUAGGAGUGGUAGCCUAGCAAAUUUAAGGAUCGGAAUCCAUAAGAGUCGGAUCAUAAUAAUAUAUAAUUUUGAGUUAGAAAUGAAUAGAGCUGAGUUGGAUGGUGAAGAAAGCGGGCGUGGUCCAUUCCCACUGAUCACGACUCGUUUUCACGGCUGCGAGUACACCUGCGCGAACCAGAAGCACGGCGGCUUGUACCCUUCCGCGGUCGGGAGCGCCUCCACGACCUCGAUCCGCUUGUGCCUGCCCGCGAGGCUGUACGCCCACACCCGCGUCUCCCCCUCGAGGUCCACGGCGAAGUACACCGUGUUGGGCCUCAGCGCGGGGCACUCCGCGGUGGACGCGGCGACGGCGCCCGUCGCGUCCACGAGCACCGCGGCGUCGCCGAUGUCCUCCGUCUCCUCCCACGUCUCGCCGCACUCGUCCAGCACGCGCACCACGAACCCCUCCCCGCCGGCCGCGCGCACGGGGCGGAGCAGCUCCACCUGCAUCAGCUCGCCGCGGGGGGACUCCACCAAGAAGCUGCGCUCCACGUACGCGCUCGGGCGGCGCGUCACGGAGGGGAUGAUCUCGGGGGACGCCGACCCCAGCCCAUGGAGCUCCGGGAACAUGUACAUCAUCCCGUACCGCGUGUUGGCGUAGAGCUGGCCCCGGUGGACGACGACGUCGACCACGGCCGGGAUGCUGGUCGGCGCCACGGACUUCCACGCGCGGUCCCCCGGCCGCGCCGUGGCCCACUGGUUGCGGUGCUGCAGCUGGCGGUAGAUGGCGACCACCAUCACCCCGCCGUCCGGGGUGGGCACCGGGACGGCCUUCUGGAUCAGGGCGCCGACGGGGAGGACGCCGCCGCCGCGGUGCUGGACCUGGAGGCCCUCGACGCGGGCGACGAGCGGGAGCGUGGCGACGGGCGGGAGCGGCCAGCGCCCGCCCGUGACGGGGUCGAGCAGGUGCAUCUCGCCGCGGUCGUCGGCGGCCACGAUCGCGCCGCAAGCGGAGCCGAGGGGCACGAACCGGCGCGAGGUCAAGCGGCCGAGGCGCGCGGGGAGGGUGGCAACGGGCACCUCGUGGUCGGCGCGCACGACUAGGCGGCCGUGGUCGUGAUCCGUUGCGACAUCGGCGGGGAGGAGCAGCCAGGGGCGGUCGGGGCGAGGCUGGCCGCGGCGGGCGGUGAAGGCGGUGGCCGCGGCGCGCCAGGAGGCGCAGACGGCGCGGAAGCGGAGGAGGUCGAGGGACGGGAGGCGCACGACGACGAGGUCGAGCAGAUCCCCGUGGAGCCCCGUCCAGUCCGCCAUGGCGAUCGCGGGUGACGUCGUGGGGAGGAGCGGAGCAGAGGGGUGGGGGGGUUAUAUUGUGGGAUCGCGGCGAGGGGCGGCGGAGGAGCGACGGUCGCGGGGCGGCUGCCCAUUUUGGGAUAAAAGGGGGCUCCGCGUUCCGGGGGUUGCUUGCUUCUCACGCGCGUCGAUUUGGGGGUGGUUUGGUUGUUUUUAUUGUACUUUCUAAGCUGGUCGAUUGGGCCGAGAAAAUUCCGCACCGGCCCGUCAGAGAUUUAAGCCUGUUGUGACGGGGAUCAUCGAGCAAGUGUUACCCUCGCGUCGCCGUCGCCGUCGCCAGAGGCUGCGGGAUUCUCCCGUUGCCGCCGCACGCCGGGGACCCUGAGCUCCCCGCUCCGCCGACGCACGCCACCACAGAGGAAUCGCUGAGUUCCUCGUCCAGCGGGGUGAAGCCGUGAAGGGACGCUCCCGCUGACCCGGAUCCUAGAUCCAGAAAGAUCCAGAAGGGGGGCACCCGAGGUGGUGGAGCCCGGGCAAGGCAGCGGCGGAGCUUCUACGAGCCGAUGGCGAGAACUCGGCGCUGCUGCGGGAGCUUAACGACGUGGCUGUCGAAGGGAAGCCGGCCUCGAGCGCAGCGGCGGAAGCAAUCCCUGGAUGAGCGGUCCUGGACGUGGCCGUGGAAAGGGUGACGACCUUGAGCAUGGUGGUGGUCCUGGAAGCUUCGACGAUCUCGACCGCAGCGGCGGAAGCAAUCCCCGGUGAAUCCGUUGUUCCUUGCUCCCCCUUCUCCCCUUUCUCUUCCCUGUCUUAUUUUUUUCACAUGCCUUUCCCAUUUCAUUUACGUCUCUUCAGAUUAGGAGUUCACUAGGCUGAUGAAGGCGGGGCCAUGACAGAUGUUGUAGGUAGCAGAUCAGGGCGAUCCCCAUGUCGAUAUGGGCAGGGUGCGGUAGAUGCGUGCACAGUGACUUACAAGCCCAUUUGUGUUGAUCGAUUGCGUAUGGAUUUUUUUUCAGGUUCCUGCUUAGUGCUUGUAGAAGCAUUUAACUAGUUGCAUCUUAGAUUCCACACCGAGCACUGGUCAUGAUGUGCUACUCUCUCAAAGUCUUAUUUGCUUAUGUCAUACUCUCCUAAUGUUUUUUCUAAAUUUUGAAACUUUAGUAUUUCUUUUUCUUCCGAGUGUGCCUUUUAGCAUUUUCAUUCCAUUUUAUUGUUUGAUAGGAAGCAUAAUGCCUAGAUAUUUACUGGACCGAUACUUCAAGGACUUUCUCUAGGAUGCCUUGUUUAGUUUCUAAUAUUGUGUUCACUGUCUACAAUCUCAAUGCAUAAUUCUUUCACUUUCCAGUAAUCACUUGUUAGUGUAGUGACUACCUAGCUACUCUGUAUUAGAUAUCGAUGUGUUGUUCUCUUACAUGUUUAGCUUGGUUUUCUGUCUUCCAUCAGGAUCGAUUUCCUCAUGCGCAUUGUGAUAAUGGUUCAGCAUUCCUUUUUAUCUAGUUUUUGAUUUUAUUUCUCCAGAAAGGUCAGAAUAAUCUUAUGCUUUAACCAAAUAUACUCGUAUGUCUUUGUAGGUUUUCCCGAGAAUUGAUAGUGACAAUAAUGGAUCAAUUGAUGAGUCUGCAAUACCAGCGUGAAAAACCCCCCGGCCUAAAUUGUGACAAUAUAUUGCACAGUUAAAGUAACUUAUCCAAUAACCAAAAUAAGGUUCAUUAAGCGAUUGCACAUGGUGCAAUUACAUGAACUUACGAUAUCAACCUAACUUAUAGUGACAAUAUAAAGUACAUUCAGCAUACUUAUCCAACCACACUAAAAUGAUCACACAUGGUGCAAUCACAAUAACUUAUACCAUCUACCACCCUCCAGAUAUUAUCAGCAUCUUACGGGCUGCAAUUUGAUCUGUAGUACCAUCAUCAACGGGAAUGACGCCGUGUACAAGGCUCCAGAACAGUCAGCUUAGAUGUAGGCGCAACUUUGUGUUCAAUAUACAUUCUUAUGGCCACGACCGCUCUAGACGCUUCCUUGAGCACAUCAUUGCUAAUGGGCCAGCAAGUUUUAUUAGCUUCCCCAGAGCACCUCCAAGGAUCAUGAAGAGUGUCCAAUGUAAGACACUCAAGUGAGACUGCGUUCUUGACAAUGCAACAUGUUAGCUCAACCAAGCUCUUUGCAGAGCUAAACCCUAUGAUCUCCACAAUCUUGAGGCAGUUGUGUAGUUGUUCAGGCAGCUCCCCCAAAUGUGAGGAAGCUCCAAAAACUGAUUCAUGCGUCACAUCUUCAUGAGGCACCUGAUGAUGAAAAGUAAAUUAGAUCAUGGACCUAACAAAGUGGCCAGAUACCUUCGAAGGAUAGGUUUCGUCCAAGAAAAAAGUCUCCAAGGAAGGAGACGCAUCAAAGAAAUAAACCAGAGAAAAAUAAUUAUAUGGUGGGGAAAAUGUCCUUUCUGAAAUCAGAAUGGUUAGAUGCUUGAGGUAGAGGAAUUUGGUAAGCACCAUUGGUGCAUUAACCACCUGCACAAUAAAUAUGUCAUGUUUGGAAAGAUCACACACAGGGUAUGCCUAUGUAUCGCUACACUGCAGCACCUGAAGUCUUAAGAAUACCUCAAUACCCGAACCAAUUAAAAGAGUCUCAAGAUUUGGCAUAAUGGACGGAAGCUCAGCACAAGCAUAACACACCACAUCUGACUGGGCAUGUCCAAUUUCUUCAUUUUCAACAGUAGUCCAAGUGAAAGUUUUAUAUUAUCUCCGGAAAAGUCAAUAAUUGAGAUCUUUGGAGCUUUGCACUCUACUGUCUGCAACCUAUAGCAAUCAAGAACAGUCAGGCGGCUGAGCUGCUGCAGCACACAAGGCAUCUUCAGAAAAAUGAUCUCCUUGCAACUAUAGAGCUCCAACUGCUCCAAAGCAAAGGAGUUGGAAAGAAGGCACUCUAAUUCAUCACCCGUAAUACGAACCGAACUCAGAUUCUCAAGGGACCAAGUUCAGAUGUGGGAUGAAAAACACAAGUGUCAAGUUGAAGAUCCCGAAUUGAGUUUCUAACACCAUCAGAAAAAAGCGAGCAUGGGAAGUUGUACUUUUUAUAUAGGUAAAGGUUGAGCUUUUCAAUCCCUGAUCUAACAGCAACCUGGAGCCAACUGUCAAUAUAAGGAAAGGUAUUGUCUUCAUCACCUAAAUUAAGCUCCAAUGUCUUCAAGCCAAUGCCCGAGUGGUUUCUCAGAAUCCUGUAGAUAUUCCACUUGAGCAGUGUCCAAAUCAAGGUGAGGUUGGGAUGACAUCUCCAGGAUCAUAGAAAGGCAUGAGAAAGGCAAGCAGCACGAGCAACAUCACGCAUGGGCAUUAGGGUAUGUAUAUGAUACCAGAUGUCCUGCAUGUACAAGCAUGGGUUACAAUUUCAAAGUUAAGACCAAACGGAAUGUCAACAUUAAAGCCAAAAUGGAAUAUUGUCUACCCCAUGCAUGGUUUCACAAGGUGCACUGUAUUACAUAGGUAUAUGAUGCAAUGGAAUGCAACGGUGGUCGAUAAAUUGAGCAGAGCAUUGCAUAGAGAAGUUUUUCCCAAAUAUCCACUUCUGGACUAGCAAAAGUAAAUUUCAUCCCACAAACAAGAGGAAAAUGGAAUUUAAUGAUGUUUGCCGUGCUUUAUGCCAAUUGGCCAAUAUAAAAUGAGUCCAUCUUAUUAGGUUGUACUUGUACCUUCUAAGGAACCUAGAAGCAGUCUUAAACUUCAUGUCAAGUGCAUCAAUGUAGAUGCUGCUGACAAUAAUUUUGGCAUACUCUGUGCUCAAAGAUAUAUUUAAUACGUAUUCACAGGGAGAAGAUGAAUGCAAUUUUGUUAUGUUUAGGAACGAGAAAUAUAUAACUAAGAUUCUGAUGGUUCUCUUGCUAUAACUGUCCGCUCUGCAAAGCCUGGUGAUAUCACAGUUGAAUCCUCUCGAUAACCAGCAAAGAGGACAGCCAAGAACUGGGGGAUCCUAGGCUGUUCUGAUUAUAUUGUAUAGUUUAUCAAAAACAGCAUGUAGCUCUAUCAACUACUCUCAAACAGCAACAACAGUCACAUGCCUCCUUAUUACUGGUAGAUACACUCAGGCUCUGGAUGGCAGGACAUACGCAGGAGAAGUGAGAAAAAGUGGAAUGUCUAUUGAUCCGAGAAUCUCAAGAGAAUAUUGAUCCGACAAUUUCGGAGAAUUUAAGGUUAUUUAACCUUCACAAAUAGAAAAGAGCGUAUAGAUAGUAAUAUAAAUGCGGUAGUGAUGUUAUAGUCUUUGCACAGAGAAGUUAGAGCAAAGCAAAGCUACCAAUUCACUAGGAGCAGGACUGUGAGCAAAUGCAGCACUGAAGGAUCUUAUGUCUGUUACAAAUAAUAUCCAGCUAGCACUAGCAGAGUCCUAUGAAUUAGUUUAGUUAGAGCAGUCACAGUGAAAUGCGUAUAGAUAAUUGGGGUGUUUGGAUCCUAGAGCUAAAAUUUUGUCCGUAUCACAUCGAAUAUUCGGAGGCUAAUUAGGAGGACUAAAUAUGAGUUAAUUAUAAAACUAAUUGCAUAGAUGGAGGCUAAACGGCGAGACGAAUCUAUUAAGCCUAAUUAAUCCAUUAUUAGGAAAUGGUUACUGUAGCAUCAUAUUGUCAAAUCAUGAACUAAUUAGGCUUAAUAGAUUCAUCUUACCGUUUAGCCUCCAUCUGUGCAAUGAGUUUUGUAAAUAGUCUAUGCUUAAUACCCUAAUUAGUAUCUAAACAUUUGAUGUGACAUGGGCUAAAGUUUAGCCCUGGGAACCAAACAGCCUAAAUACCUCAGGAAGCCAUGGGAUUAAAUUGCUCGAUGUUUCGCCAUGUCGAGAAUCAGCAUCACCAGGGGCGCACCCAACGUGGGACAUGGUGAGACCUGAAUACAAAAAUUGAAGUUAGGCUAUCCGCACCGCUAGGCUCAGUAAAAAAACUUGUAAAACACAAUGGCCCACAGGACAGGUCAAUUAGAGGGAACGGUAAAAAAACUAAGUUGUCGUGCGUGCGCCUCUAUCCGCAUCUCCUUCCGUCCCUAGCGGCUCCCUCCCUCCCUUCGCCGGGCGCUGCUCCAGAGCCUCCUUCUCCCCGCCGGCAUGGCCAUGGCGGCCGUGCCGCCACCCAGGAACCCCACCGCUGCUCCAGAGCUCCUCCUCCCCGUCGGCCACGACCUCCUCCUCCCCGCCCGGCCUCCGCACCCGCUGCCGCCACCCUGGAUGUGCUGCUCCUCCACAAGAGGAUAGUGUUCGUGUACAGGAAGCUCUGGAUUUGGAGAUCUCCUGUAGUGAAUGGAAAGGUGAAGUUUGUUUUAGAGGUUUGCGGUGUCGGAGUCUCACCUGAAUAUUUCCAGUUACGGGGCAUUUGGUGAGCCACGGUGCAGAUAGCCUUAGUAGGUAAAAUACAUGGUCAGCUUUGAAUACAAAAAUAGCAUAAAUUAGGGUUUGGGGGUGUUCGAUUUCGCACAGCAGGAAGGUCCGAAGGUAAGGUUAAGGGAACGGGCGGCCAUAGCCUGGCGGACGCUUGUCGGCUUGUCGCUGAUGAAGCGCCCGACGAAGACCUGCCCACGAUCGUCGCUGGUAGGAAGGAAAGGCAGUUUUUUUUUUUUUUGGUAUAAAGGCAGAGGCAAGGGUUCCAAGCCUUUAGAUUGCAGACCCUAGCAGUGCCCGAGCCGGAUAGCAACUGGCACAGGAGUCGGCCCAGCGGCUUAUACAGGUGGCGGCCCAUCAUAUGGCCUAGCUUGCGCACGCAGAGAGACCCGUGGGCCGUGGGCUAUUGGCAACAGCCAGCUGGGAUGGGCCAGCAAAGGGCAGCAGCCCGUGGGUAGACCGGACUAUAUAACACGAGUCUGUUUGUCCGAGCUGCAGUUGUUGGAGGGCUGAAUUUUUUUCAAAAACAGCUAAUAAUAAUUUUCCAAAAAUGCGUUUAACUUUCUGACUUUUCAGCUUUUCAUAUAAACUCAGAUUUACUGAGCUUCUAGCUUUUCGAAAACUGCACGAGAAGUUUUCUGUUUGUUUAAACUUCUUACUUUUCACACUUAGAAGCUGCUAGAAGCCUCAAACAAACAUCCUAGCUCCGGAAUCUCUUUUUUAAUGGACCUUCCACAUUUGAGAUUUGUGCAAACAAUCACCUGUCUGCUGCGGUCUAGCUCUAAGGUUCCAGUCUGCCACCACCUUUUACUCUCUCGCACGACGCUACCCCCUGUGCCGCCGCCACCGCCUGCACGUGCCAUCCUCUGCGGCCCUGCGGCCACGCAUUGUUGUUGUCCGCGUGCUCCACCGUCGCCACCCGACACGUCGCCAUCCGCGUCCUCCACCUCCGCCGCUACCUGUGUGCAGCCUCCACCACUACUACAGGUCCUGCUACACCUUGCCUACGUUGUGUUGGUCAUCCCAAGCCACCCCAUGUCGCCUUUGUCGUGCCGGCCAUCCCACACGACCCCGCCAUGCGCCGUUGCCGCCACCAUAGUCGCAGAAAAUAUUGAUUUUUUUUUCAAAAUGUUGAUCAUGUCUUGGUAAAUGUUGAAUCAAUUCGUUGAAAUAGAUUUUGAAAAAAUUGAAACUAAUAUUUUUUAAAAUGUUGAGCUAGCUUUUCAAAAAUUGUUGAAUCUAUUAUUUUCACAUGUUGAUCCGUUAUUCAGAAAAUGUUAAAACCCAUCUUUCGAAUGUUUAAUGUGAACCUCCAAUUUAAAUUUAUGGAUUUUAAAGGCAUAAAGCUUGAUCAAUUUCCACAUGUUGUAUAGGAGGCCUGUGGUAGACCUGACGGGGGAAGUUUGCAUAAUCAAUUAUUGAGAAUGCAUGGCGCAAGAAGAACCCAGGAAGUGAUUUAGGUGCGCUGGCAGAUUCGCUUAAAGCAGUCACCGCUGAUCUGAAAGUCUGGAGCCGGGAGAAAUUUGGCCACGUUACAAAGCGCAUUGCGGAGCUGAGAAAAGAACUCGAUGAGAUCUUAUACAGAGAAGAGAUGAUGUGGCUCCAAAGAUCGAGAAUUACAUGGCUGAAGGAAGGGGACAGAAACACAAAAUACUUCCAUAGGAAAGCCAGAUGGAGGGCAAGGAAAAACUGGAUAAAGAAAGAAGAUGGUAGUUGGGGCUCCGGGCAAGAUGAAAUGCAAGGUAUGGCAGAACAGUACUUCUCAAAUUUAUUUUGAAGAGAUGAAGGGGUGAAUCCUGCAGAGAUUGCUGAUUUGUUUGAUCCACAAAUUACUGAAGCUAUGAACUAUGACCUGUGUAAACCAUAUACACCUGAGGAGAUUGCGGACGCCCUUUUCCAAACUGGGCCUCUUAAAGCACCUGGGCCAGAUGGCCUUUCAGCUAGGGUUUUUCCAACGAAACUGCCCUUAUCGAAGGAUGACGUUGUCCAAGGAAUUCUUUGAAACGGGAGUUAUGCCUGAGGGGGUUAAUGAUACUUGCAUUGUGCUAAUACCUAAAGUUACAUAUCCGGAGACUUUAAAGGACUUCAGGCCCAUCAGCUUAUGCAACGUCGUCUAUAAAGUGGUAUCUAUAUAAAGUGGUAUCUAUGUGUAGUGUGAACCGUUACGACCUCUUUUGCAGGAUAUUAUUUUCCCAAGCCAAAGUGUUUUUGUUCCGGGAAGUCUAAUUACAGACAAUGCUCUUAUUGCUUUUGAAUGCAUCCAUGCUAUAAAUUCAACCACAGAUGAAAGGAGUAGCUAUUGUGCAUACAAAUUGGAUCUCUCUAAGGCGUAUGACAGAGUCGAUUGGAGUUUUUUAAACAACGUUCUGCUGAAGCUAGUUUUUUAAACAACGUUCUGCUGAAGCUAGGCUUUCAAAGUAAUUGGGUUCAGAGGAUCCUGACUUGUGUGACCUCUGUAGUCUGUACGCUACUCGGUCCGCUUCAAUGGCGCCAUGUCGGUGCCUUUUACUCCAACGAGAGGUCUUCGCCAAGAUGAUCCUUUGUCGCCAUAUCUAUUCUUUUUGUUGCUGGUGGUCUAUCUAAAUUGAUUAGCAGGAAAGUUCAAGAAGGGGCGCUCGAGGAAUUGCGGGUUUGCAGAGGGGCGCCAGGUAUAUCACACUUCUUACUUGCUACGACACCUUAUUAUUUUUAAAGCAAAUUCAGACCAAGCCACUAAAGUUAAAGCUAUUUUUUUAGAUUAAGAAAAUUAUCCUGUCUUGAACAUUCACAAGUGAAUAUCUACGACCACAAAGAAAUAAAUCCAACCACCUAGUUCAGAGGCACAUGAGUAUUUAGACUCCACGCCUCAACACGAGGGUCAAAGAAAAUAAGAAAGCAAACCACUAAGAAAAAAAAGCUAAAAGGACUAAGCUUCAAACUUCUUCUAUGCUCUUGCUUCCACCUAGCCAUGGGCCUUGUGCAGCAACUAAUCCCUCCCAUCUAUCAUUUUUUUAGAAACUUUAGAAGUUAGGAUGAUCCUGCUCGACGGCCAACUAUUUCCUAUCGCGUAGAAACUGCACUUAGUCAAUCUCCACCAUGCACACUGGCAUUACACUAAAACCGCCAUCCCUCCAAGCUGAACGCAUACCGCCAUCCAAGGAUUUCAAAACGGCACCUCAAGACGAAAGCGAUGUCAAGACGCCUCUGCCACCUGAACCUGCUUCGGUUCUUCUUUUUUCAUAUGGAAAAAGUCUCUAGGUCAAGUUCCUCACCGCAACGCCUUCAACAAGAAGCACGAUGCAUCACGGCACCGUCGUCACCAGCACCGGUCAAGACCGAUCAUGACUUUCGCCUGAGGACCUCGACACAUAUGAGCACUGUACAGGCCAAUUAAUCAAUCCCACGAAGUGCUCCAUCAUAUUUAAUGAGAAGGGACAACAUGAAAGGCAUGAACAAGUGAAGAGGAUUCUGGGGGUGAAGCUGUCCUCUUUUGAAGCCAAAUACCUUGUUCUGCCAACGCCCUCUGGCAGAAUGAAGGGUGAAAGAUUUCAACAUCUCAAGGAGCGGUUGGAGAAGAGGCUUCAAGAUUAUAUGGAAAAGAAUAUGUCAGUGGCUGCAAAGGAAAUUCUAAUUAAAUGAGUGGCACAAGCGCUCCCCACAUUCAUCAUGAGUGUGUUUAAGUUACCACUUGGUCUGUGUGAUGACUUCACUAGCAUUAUACGGCAGUUUUGGUGGGGGGUGGAGAAUGGGAAGAGGAAAACGGCAUGGAUUGCCUAGAAGGAUCUCACCCAAAAGAAGUGUUGUGGUGGAAUAGGUUUCAAGGAUCUGCGUCUUUUCAACCAAGCCCUCCUUGCUCGACAAGCCUAGCGGCUAGUGGCGUUCCCAGAGAGCCUUUGUGCUAGGGUGCUGAAAGUGAGAUAUUACCCAAGAGGGAAUUUGGUUCAAAUUCUUCCCAAACUUGGCAAUCUAUUGUCCAUGGUCUCGACCUCCUGAAAAAAGGUGUUAUCUGGAGGAUUGGGUGCGGGACACAAGUACGUAUAUGGUGGGAUCCGUGGAUUCCAAGGGAAUACUCCUUAAAGGUUACUACAAGGAAAGGAAGAUCACGCAUGAAAUGGGUUUCAGAACUUUUGGACAUCACUGGCCAUAAUUGGGACUAUGAUAGACUUAUUGGCACAUUUAAUCCAGCGGAUGCGGAUGCGGAUGCUAUUGCUAAGAUCAAAUUACCCAGCACAUUGUCGGAGGAUUUCCUAGCUUGGCACCUGGAGAAAUCCGGCAUUUUUAUGGUUCGCAGCGCCUACAAUCUGGCCUUAAAACUACAGGAGGUAGGAGUAGCUACUGCAUCUAGUUCAGCUCCAGAUGGAGAAAGGAAAUUGUGGUCGCAUGUUUGGGAGGGCAACGUGCCCCCAAAGGUCAAUACAUUCGCUUGGAGAAGCAAGUUUGUCAGGAAGCUUGACCAGAUGGACACCUGCCCUUUAUGUGGGCAGACAGCUGAGACAAGUUACCAUGCUACGGUGACCUGCCCACAAGCGCGUGACAUUAUACAAGCGAUGAGGGAUCACUGACCGGUACCUGAUGAGGAACUUUUUGAAUAUUCAGGACCGGACUGGCUACUCCUACUGCUGGAGCGAUGCUCUGGCGAGCAAAGGGAUUUAACGAAAUUGAUUUUGUGGAGAGCAUGGACAGUUCAUAAUAAUAUAACCCAUUGCUUCGGGCCAACCAGUAUCCAGGAGUCGGUGCACUUCUUGCUGAAUUUGAGGCAUGUUUUGUGUCAGCAUGAGUGGAAAGAUGUGAAUCCAGAGGACAAAGGUAAGGCUCCCUGUAGCUGGUCCGACAAUAGAGUAGAGCGUGGCAGGAUUUUGAAGAAUGAGCAAGGUUGUGGAUAUUGGAAGCCACCACCUGAAGGUUGGGUCAAGGUCAAUGUGGAUGGGUCCUUCACAGAGAAUGGGGACGCUAGGGUCGGAGUAGUGGCGAGAGGUAGCAAUGGGGAAGUCUUGUUCACGGCUUGGAGAGUCCUUUUCAGAUAUGCGGAUGCUGCUGAGGCGGAGGCUAGAGCAUGCAUGAAAGGAAUUAGGCUAGCCACCCAAUGGUCCCAGGGAUCGGUGAUCGUCGAAUCUGAUUGCGCACGGGUGGUCCAUGCCAUGCAACGCAAGCAGGACAAGUCUGAGCUAUGCUUCAUCAUUGCCGAAGCUAGAGAACUCACCACGCUGUUGGAGAAUUGGGAGAUAGCCCAGGUGAAAAGAGAUUGUAAUCGAGUUGCUCAUGAAUUAGCUUUGUUCGCUACGAAAAACACUCACACUGGUCUGGCUGAGACACGCGCCUGCGUGCGUACUCAAUCUUAUCCAAACUGAUUGUAAUGCCCAUCAUUCCUAGUUAAUAAAGCGCUCUUUUCCCUCGCAAAAAAAGGAGUAGAACAAUUGAACAAAGACCAGCAAGAAGACGCACUUGACCGAUGGUGGUCCGACGGCAUGGGCCGUGGCACAGAGGGGAGGGCACUCGACGCCGCGAUCGUCCGUGACGCGGAAGCUGUAUUGCCAGAUGAUUUCCCGGCGCCGAUUGCAGUUCGGCAGUCCUCCAUGUACAUGGAUGAAGGAGAGGCACUCCACCAAGUCCAGGUGCAGGAACAGCGUGAAGGUGAGGCUGUACUUGACGCCGGUUGGUUCUUCACGGUCAGGGAUCGAUACAAUGUGAGGUGUAAGUCCUACCUUGUUGAUCGACUAUUUUGCUUGGGUCUCCACACCAAGUCCAGAGGUCGUAGGUGCCAACUUCCCGGCGGCAGGAGCACCGGCGGCCGAUCACCGGUGCGCGACUGCGCGGCCACCCGCUCACUGGACGCGUGCACCGGCAUCCUGUCAAUCAUGAUGAGGGCGUGGAAGGCCGGCGACCAGCACUCAGGUACUGCUCGGGAUGGCGAAAGCACCGAACGAUUUUGCACGGACAUGGAUGAUGGAUCGGUUACCAUUCCCAACUGAAAGGGGGCUUUGGCAGACAAAUGUGGUGUUCGCAAGUUCUAGAAUUUCAGAGCAGUCAUCUCCUGACAGUUUGUAUGUCGAAUAGUAUGUCAAAUCGAAGAUUCCGCAAAUAUCACCACACAUUACCGUGUUUAAUUUGAAAAAUGCACGUUGUGUUACAAGUUACGUUAUAGUAAGACCUUUUUAAAUGAAAUAUGGCGCUACAGUGUUCAUUCCAUUUGCUUUUGCCAUCCUGAGUCCCGGCACGAACUGAAGUUCUUGCUUCAUGAUUAUUACAGUGGUACGUGCGGUUGACAAAGAAAAAAAACGAAACAACCACACCAUCAACGUGGUCACCCGCCGCAUUUCAAACAAAUCCACCCGAACAGAGAAGAUCAGAAGCCCAAAGCAAAAUCCAAAGAACUGGGCCGGGAAAAAUGGCACGCCAUGGCCAGUCACUAUUCUCAAACCAUAGAAACACAAUACUUUUCUCCUCCUAAAAAAAACCGCAAUACUUAAUUAUGGCUGCAGUUACCAUAUGCUAAUGGCGCUCAACUUCAGAACACUCGUUAGCCUGAGUGGGAGUAUGUGCAAGCACAUGUAUCUCUGCUAUAACUUUAAGGGCCUGUUUGGAUACAUCCUCAUAAACUUUAAGACACUCAUAAAGUUUAGGAGCUAGAAAUUGGUAGUCCUAAAAUUUAUGAGUGGGUUGUUUGGAUGAAAUCAUAAUCUUUAGGAUGUUAGAGGGGAAAUGACUUUUGUACCCCUAAUUACUCCACCCCUGCUCCGUUUCUAGCGCCGUGGAGAGAGAAGGGGAGGGCCAACAGGGGUAAAUGAUGGGUUGGGGACCACUUUUAGGAGAAAAAUGACCCAUUAUAAUGGUUUGGUCCUCCUAAUGAAAAGAGCACUCCUAAACAUUAUGAAUGCACUUUUAUGACAUAUGUUUGGAUGCACAAGUCCUAAAAGUGGACUAAAAGUGAAGUUCUAAAGAUUAUGAGUGUGUAUCCAAACAGGCCCUAACCUAUGGUGAAAAUAGCUUCAAGCACAACCCCAAAAUGAUCCUACUUGGAAGUUUGAAAAGGUGUUCUACACCGUACACGGAAGCAACAUGGUUCCAUUCUUCUACUUGGGCCGUGCAUGCUGACAGGUAUGAGUGAGGCAGAGCACCACCGUUUGAUGCCUGGCGGACGGUGGAUACGAGGCGAUCGGGCCUACGCGUCAGCUACUGGCUGCAGAGGAUUUUCCGCCGCGACGACAUCGUUCCCCAAUCCGCCGGCACCCGGCAGGCACCAGCACCACCCACCCCCUCUUUCUCUCGUCAAUCCACUGCAGCAGGGCAGCGACGGUGCCCGGUGAAACUGCGAGAUCCAGCGCGGCGGCGCUGCCCCCCACCCCGCCCCCCCGCGUCGCGCUCGCGCUCCUUGUGCCGCCCACCUCCCCGUCAGGGCAGUUCCCCUGCUCCCUCCGGUACCCCUCCAGCGGCCUGACCUCCCGGCCUCCUGUAUCUCCUGCAAUCCCGCUUCCUCAGGUACUAGUUGAGAGACUAGUACUAAUGGCCGUUGAGAGACUUCACUCGUCAUUUAUUGAGCGGAGAGUAAGAGACACGCGCAUCACCCUCACUCGGCAUCACUGGCCACGGUGAGGCGCCCGAGCCGCGGGAGAUGGGUCAAGGUCAACGCUCAACGGCCGGGCAAGCGGAGGUUAUGUAUCUCUACAGCCAGGCCGACGCACGCGUUAGCUGUCCGCGCCUGCUCUGGCUCGCGGCUUAUGUAGGCGACCGCAGCCCCCAUCCGGCGGCCAUCCCAUAUUCCCAUCCCCCAACUUGCCGCUGGCAGUAGCGGCUACGCUGUCCGCGUUCACUUCACUCGCCUUCGCCUGGCAUUAUCAUCUCUGCCUGAGCCGGUCAAGAGCUGCCAGGGAGGUCAAGCCCUGCCGGUCUGCUCCUCCUACAUAUAUCCGCGGGGGGGCUUGCCGUUGGUUGGACCACUGCUUCGGUGUGGCGUUGGCGCGGUUGGUAGCUCGCUUCUUCAUCCUCGGUCCAGAGCCAGCAGGCCAGUUCUUGGAGAGCAGAGGAGAGGCGGAGGAGCGAGCUCGCGGUAAAAGGCGGAGAGAUGGCGGGCGGCGGGGUGGCCGCGCUGGGGGUGAACACGGAGCGCGCGGCGCAGUACAAGGGCCGCAUGACGCUCGCCGUCGCCAUGACCUGCCUCGUCGCCGCCGUCGGGGGAGCCAUCUUCGGCUACGACAUCGGCAUCUCCGGUACGUUCUCCCGGCCGUUUCUUCUCUUCCCUCUGUUCGCGUCAGCUCUGCGCUCUGCUUCCGUAUCCCGUGGCCGCGACCGCGCGCUUAAUUCUCAGUUUCUCAACCAUGGACGGCAACGGCCGGACCACCGCCGGCUCGGCAAUCGUUCCAGCCUCUCGCUCGGAUUUGUUGGCCGCGCGCACUAGACCCAGUAGCCACUAGCCGUCGGCGCGUCGGGCCUGGCCCCUCGGGCGAGGCUUAAGGUGUGUGUGAGGUGUCGGUCUCGCUACCGCGACAGUUCGGCACGUACGCAUCAGCGUCCAUCGCACAAAAGCCUCUUUGGAUUUCAUGGUGUCUCGAGCGGGCCGGAUGAUUGGGUUUGGGUGGAAAUUGGGGGUAGGACGGAGUGAGGAACAAGGCCGCAGGGAAGGCGACACGAGGACGCUACAAAGCUUGCGGUCCGACCUGGCGGCGCGUUCUGCCUCGGCGCCUGGCGCUGUCGUCCCGCGUCUCCUCCUGAUCUUCUCCCUCAUCGGUGGGGCAUCCGUAACACGCUCCCCGUACCUGCAUGUCCGAAGACCGAUUAUUUGACCACCGAAAGUGUUUUUAGCUCGUGUUUCAUGAGCCCUUCACUCGAGCAUCGGUUGCGACUCGUCAGAACUGGUGACCAGUGGACCCACCGGCCAGUCUCAGUGUUUGCUGCAGGAUUUGUUAGUAGUUGGUCCAAAUAACACGGGUGCAGAUUAUGCACGGUAGGGACGGGGAAAAGAUGCAGAAACGACGAGCUCACACGACCAGCAAGUCUUAAAUCUGGCAGUGGUUGAAGAGACCAUUGACCGGAGCCAUCGCUGCUCAGACCUCACAGGCGAGGACAAAACCUGCAAAAAUCCUAGCUAUAAAGUAUUAUUUCUAGAAAAAACACAAAUAAUGUUAUAUUCUCAAGUCAAAACAUCGUCACAUGCUAGACCCAGUUGACUCAGUGUUAAGUGUUAACUACUCUACUCUAUCGUAUUGCAACUACAGAUUUACAAUAUCCUCGAGAUUGGCUUUGUUUAACAAACCUCAACAUCUAUAGGCUAUAGCCACUUGCUCGACGUGAACUGUGAUUAUAAAAAUAAAAUAAUACGUAUCGUCAAUGGAUAUUAUCUCCAACAAGGCAACAAGGAGUGGAGGUCACCACUGUUGUAAAGAACAAAAAGAAAAUGGCAGUAGUUGUGUUGAUCAGGUGAACACUCUGUUAGUCCAGCUAAUGUCGUGGAAACGAAAGUUCAACACAUAAGAUUGAAGAUGCUUAAGAAGUACUACCUUGUAUUAAAAUAUUCGUCGCUAUUGAGUUUUGGUUACGACGUUUGACCAUUUGUCUUAUUCAUAAAAAAAAUUAUAUAAGUAUCAUUUAUUUUAUUUGUGACUUAUUUCACCAUCAUAGGUAUUUUAAGCCUGACUUAUCUUUUCGUACAUUUACAAUAAUUUUUUAAAUAAGAUGAAUGGUCAAAUAUUGCAAGAAAAGUCAACAGUGACAAAUAUUUUGAUACGGAGGGAGUACUAGUACUAGCGUAAUAACAAUUUUACGAACCACGUAAAUGGAUGCGAAAUGGCCUUUAAUUUUGGCAUGCAAGAUUAUCUAAAUGUUUGAAUGGGAAAUUUAGGAUUGAAAUUAUUUGGCACUUUGUGAUACGCGAAUUCAUAAUGAGAUUAACACUUAUCUGAUACAACAGAAGGUUUAUUUUUUUUGAAGAAUUACGUGCUUGGGGCCACUGGUAGAUUUUCACAUGCCAUGAGAACACAAAUCUAGCAGUUUGAACUCUGAAGGUCUGCCAAUCUGACUGGCCGAAUGCUGCAGGAGGAGUGACAUCGAUGGACCCAUUUCUCAAGAAGUUCUUCCCGGCGGUGUACCAUAGGAAGAACUCCGGCAGCCAGAACAACUACUGCAAGUACGACAACCAGGGCCUGGCGGCGUUCACCUCCUCACUGUACCUCGCUGGCCUCGUCUCCUCCCUCGCGGCGUCCCCCGUCACGAGGAACUACGGCCGCAAAGCCAGCAUCGUCUGCGGCGGCAUCAGCUUCCUCGUCGGCGCCACGCUCAACGUCGCCGCCGUGAACCUGGCCAUGCUCAUCCUCGGUCGCAUCAUGCUCGGCGUCGGAAUCGGUUUCGGCAACCAGGUGCGGACCUGACGAGCUUUUUGAUCGCUUGGUUGACUGAGCAAUGCGUGCUUGGACUCCGAAUAACAGUGUGUGUUCUUGGUGUCGCACGCAGGCUGUGCCGCUGUACCUGUCGGAGAUGGCGCCGGCGCACCUCCGCGGCGGGCUGAACAUGAUGUUCCAGCUCGCGACGACGCUGGGCAUCUUCACGGCGAACCUGAUCAACUACGGCACGCAGAACAUCAAGCCGUGGGGUUGGCGGCUGUCGCUGGGUCUGGCGGCGGCGCCGGCGAUGCUGAUGACCCUGGGCGGGCUGCUCCUCCCGGAGACGCCCAACAGCCUCAUCGAGCGCGGGCGCGUGGAGGAGGGGCGGCGCGUGCUGGAGCGCAUCCGCGGCACGGCCGACGUGGACGCCGAGUUCACGGACAUGGUGGAGGCGAGCGAGCUGGCCAACACCAUCGAGCACCCGUUCCGGAACAUCCUGGAGCGGCGCAACCGGCCGCAGCUGGUGAUGGCCGUGUGCAUGCCGGCGUUCCAGAUCCUGACGGGCAUCAACUCCAUCCUCUUCUACGCGCCCGUCCUGUUCCAGAGCAUGGGCUUCGGCGGGAACGCGUCGCUCUACUCCUCCGUGCUCACCGGCGCCGUGCUCUUCUCCUCCACGCUCAUCUCCAUCGGCACCGUCGACCGCCUCGGCCGCCGGAAGCUCCUCAUCAGCGGCGGGAUCCAGAUGAUCGUCUGCCAGGUUGGCAUCGCAAUUAAUCACAAUGUACUAUUACAUCAUUUUCAUAUACCACGGGCUAAAGAAAGAGUUCUCCCUGCUUGGAUCAUUGGACGCGUGCGUGCAGGUGAUCGUGGCGGUGAUCCUGGGCGUGAAGUUCGGGGCGGACAAGCAGCUGUCCCGGAGCUACUCGAUCGCGGUGGUGGUGGUGAUCUGCCUGUUCGUGCUGGCGUUCGGGUGGUCGUGGGGCCCGCUGGGGUGGACGGUGCCGAGCGAGAUCUUCCCGCUGGAGACGCGGUCGGCGGGGCAGAGCAUCACGGUGGCCGUGAACCUGCUCUUCACCUUCGCCAUCGCGCAGGCGUUCCUGUCGCUGUUGUGCGCCUUCAAGUUCGGCAUCUUCCUCUUCUUCGCGGGGUGGAUCACCGUCAUGACCGUCUUCGUAUACGUCUUCCUCCCGGAGACCAAGGGCGUGCCCAUCGAGGAGAUGGUGCUGCUCUGGCGCAAGCACUGGUUCUGGAAGAAGGUCAUGCCGGACAUGCCGCUUGAGGACGGCUGGGGCGCGGCUGGGGGUCACGCUGCCAAUAACAGCCACAAGUGAAGAAGCAUACGAGUGGUUUCAUGUAGUACUCCCUAGAUGACGAGGCAGAGUGAGCUGUAGGAGGAAUGGAGGAUGUUUAUCAUUGUAUCCAGCUUAUGUGAAAGUUGUAUGUAGUUUCAUGGUGUGCGUGGCGACAGCGGUAAAAGUGCAAGCAUCUUCAGUCAUUCUUUUUUUCCUAACCUACAUUACCAUAGUUGCAGAGACAUACACUUCAUACUCAUAUCAUGGCAUAGGAAACAAAGGUAAAAUAUUCUUCAAAAAUUGAUGCUUUUUUGUCUAUUUAAAUUGAAAGAAAAAUGCACAUACUGAGUAGGAAUUUCAAGGAUCCCGUAGGUGACACGUAAACAUGUUCUGAAUUCACAUAAUACGUAGAAACGUGUCGCUUCAGGACGAUCCUAAUUCGUUCUAAGCUUUUAUCUAAUCUACAUACGACGGAGCAUCACAUAAACAACAGUGGGGGCAUUGCUACAAUCUUGACGAUGACAUAUAUAAGGAAGCGAGCGUAUGCCUGUGGACGGCGGUCUACGGGAGCUGCUACGGCAUCGUCCUCUCGUGCUCUGCUGGAGCUGAGGAGUUCGGAAGUGCUACGAUUCGUCUUCCGGAUUGCUCCGGGCUCAUGCCGCCGCAGCCGUGGGCACCGGCGCGCGGCCGUCGUCAGGCGGCGCACGGAUCGUCCGAGCGGCCCUUCCGCGGGUCUUCAGCAAGAGCACCGGGAUGGGUAGCGAUCGGGGAUCAGGCGCGGCCGCGGCGAACGACGGGCCCGAGUAUGCGGCCGGUAACGCCUGCUUCGCCGUCGUGGCGGCGCCCGUGGUAGCCACGGGUGCUUGCUCGGUUUCCUCCUCCGCCUGUGGGAGGACGGUCUGGUGCGCCGGGGUCGCUACGGGCUCUGCCUUUGCCGGCGCGCCGGCGGCGUGGUGCUCUGCAGCCUCGGCAUUCUUUGCCUCUGUGUCGGGAACACGCUUGUCUUCGGCUGCUGCAGGCUCGGCACUCGCCGCCGGCGCGCUGCUCUGCCCCGCGAACGCCACAGGCUCGUCCUCCUCCUUAGUCUGUUCGCCGCGUUCCACUGCGGCCGCCACAGUCCCAGCCUCCUCCGCCUUGGCGUCGCGCUGGCCCGCGGUCGUCACAGCAUCAACCUUCUCCGCCUCUGAGCUGCUCUGCUCCGCGGCCGCCAGGGACUCAUCCACCUUGUCCCGCACGCCGCAGUUCGCUGCGGCCGCCACUCUCUCGUCCGUCCCCGCCAGCGCGCCGCGCAGGUCUGCAGGCUCGGCUUUCUCUGCCUGCGCGACGCUCGGCCCCGCGGCGGGGAGCGCCGCCGCGACCACGUGAGGGAUCGGCUCCCCGCGCUUCAGGAUCACGACGUUCUCCAUGACGCGCUUGUGCGGCGGCGGCGAGCCAGCCCCGGCCGCCGGGGGAGACCCGCGCCGGCGCUGCCGCCCGUUCGCCCGCUCACGCGCCGCAACAGGCGGGGAAGCCGUGCCUGGAAUCCGGCUUUCCUGCUGCUGCUUCUGCUGCAUUGGACGACGGGGAGCCGGUACGGGCGCGGGCGCGGCUCGCACGCCGCGGUGCGCCCCGAAGAACGCGCGGCCGGCGAGGCAGUCCGUGGGCCGGGUGCACAGAGUUGCCAUCCCGGCCGGCGCGGGGUGCUGGGCGACUUGUGUUUGGGGUUACCGCCGGAGCGCGAGGGGACGAUCGCCUUCGUCCGGUGUGUCGCCGGCGCUGAGCUCGAGGAAGCGGACGAAAUCGUGGUGGCGCGGAGGCGGGCACGGCACGCGGAUAUAUACCGGUGACACGGCGGCAUGGCGCGUUGGAAUCGGAGUCGGACUGGGGUCCACAGUCCAGACGUCCAGCGCGUGCUGGGUGGUUCUACUUCUACCGUUCUACGCGGGCCCAGGGGCAAAACCGGGAAGAGAAAAAAAAUCGAGGGGUUCGACUCAUCCACUCCCCGCCGACUCGUGGGUGGGACCCGUGUGGGUUUAACGCUCUCCCCCCCUUCUCCAUCCACUCCCCGACUGCUUGGGUCUCGACGUCGGCGCCCUCACCGCCGGCGAGGCCCCUUCUUCCGCCGGGCGGAAUCUCCAACGUCCCUACCCGUACCUUGCUGGGAGUGCAGAUCCAUCGUUCGGAAGUCGAUCGGGUUCUUCUUUUGCCGGUAAGCAGCCCAAGCUCUCUUGUAUGGAUUGGCCUAGGGUUUCGUCCUAGGAUUAGUCGUAUUCUUUGCGGUGACUCUAAUAAAUGGGAUCCGGAACCCAUUCCUCCUCACCAUAUCAGUAGGAUGUGGAUGAUUUGUAUGCUUCGUGGUUCACCCCCCACUAAUCCGACCUAUCCACCCGUAGCUCGAUUAGGUUCUUUCUUCAGCGCGCGGCAUCAAUCCCCUUUGGUUUCAAGAAGGAUCAGGAACGUCGUCCAGCCUUGGAGAUACUUCCCCGCUCCGCUGCGUUUGAUGCAUCAUUUCAGGAUGGUAAAUUCUUGAUUCAUAGUAUUUGCCAAAAAAAAACAAUUUCAGUUUAUUGGCUGGCUCAAGCUUCGGUGGAGUGGUUCUUAUGUUUGUGUUGAUCUUUGCGUUCUCUGGUUUUGUAAGUGAUGCUCAGUGCUUAGGCCCCUACUGAGCUGCUGCUGUGGGUUUUUUUCUUCUUCUUUGCGAAACGGAGGUGGAUUUUAUUAACAGGUUAUAAUCUGCUCUCACAAGGUGUACAAGAACUCCGAGCUAAAACAUGUGCUCCUCAGUGAGAAAUUUAACUUCCUGGAUGAGAAAGGCGAGGCGACUUCUGUCCUCCAAUGUCAAGUUCAAAGCAUUGCAGACAUUUUGACAAUCCGAUUCCAGUAUUAGUGGUGAGUGUCUCCAUUGGAUAGCUAAGCUCAACCCCUCCUGGCAAGCAAGCAACUCGGCUUCCUUCGCAUCGCCACACCUGAAGACAACUUGCCUGGCUGCCAGGACCACUUCACACUUUUCAUAACGAGCUGCUGUGGUGGUGGUGUAGGUCGUGCUCAGUGUGUUUUCCAGAGUGGUUUGUGUUUUCACUGUGGUGGUGUGCUGAUUGUGCUUUUUUCUUUCUAGAGGAUAUGACAACCAGCUUGAUGGUUUCUAGAUUAGAAAACUCGGGGGUUGAAGGCAAUGAAUAAUUGCACGUUGGAUUACCACAAAUGACAUUUGUUCUAUAGCAAGCUGGAAUUAAAUCAUUCAUUUCCCGCUCAUGCAGUACUUUGUCAUCACCCACUCAUUCGUCCAAUAGAACUUACGAUGGUUUAACCUUUUCAGGAUUAUCAACUGUCGGCUAUGUUAGCAUGGUUCUCUUUUUGUUAUUUAGAGCAAGUUGUGUCGUCAUGUUGUCACUACUGUUACUAGUAGUCUGCAGUGCAAUAAUGUCAGUACUUACUCCCUUCUCUCGCCACAUGCGUGCAUAACCUUUUCUAAUUUCUUUAUCCCAUGGCUUAUGAAGUUGACAAAACUCCUUCAUAUUUGAUCUAAUUCAUGAAAGACCUAUUCUUUUUGGUGAAAUCCUCUAGGAUUGAACGAAUUCUUUGCUGUGAAUCUAAGAAAUGAGAUCCGAAACCCUUUCUUUCUCACCAUACCAGUAGGUUGUGGAUGGUUUGUGUGCUGUGUGGUUCACCCACCCCCCACUAAUCCGACCUAACCACCCGUAGUUCAAUUAGGUCCUUCAGCGCACAACAUCAAUCCCCUUCAGUUUUAAGAAGGAUCAAGAUCUUCGUCCAUCCUUGGAGACGUGUCCUGUCCGCUGCAUUUGAUGCAUCAUUUUCUGAUGAUAAAUUCUUAAUUUAUAGUAUUUGCUCACAAAAAAAAAAUCCAAUUUCAUAUUUGCUUCAUUGAUGUGAGUGACUAUAGUUGAUGUAAGACAAUAUGACAACGAGCAGACAGGGCUGAUGGUUUUUAGAUUAGAAAACUUGGGGAGUGAAGGCAGUGAACAAGUGCACUCUGGAUUACCACCAAUGGUAUUUGUUCUAUAGCAAGCUGGAACUAAUUUGUUAACUACCCGCGCAUGCAGUAUUUUCUUGUCACCCGCAGAUGCAGUAUUUCGCCCAAUAGAGCUUAUAACGGUUUAACCUUUUAUGGAUUGUCAAUGGUCGGCUGCGUUAGUGCAGCUCUCCUUUUGUCAUUACUACCGUUACUAGUAGUCUAUAGUGCAUUUAUGUCGGUAUUGUGUUCAUUACAAGAACACUUGCUGUUUUUACCACUGAACUUUACUAUGUUCAAUACACUUUUUGAAGUAGUGUUCAAUACACUUUGUGUUGUGACUACAACAUAUAACUAAUAUGUAACAAUUUGUCAGGACCAGUCCUCUCAGUUUAUUGGUGAUGGAGCCUCCCAUGAAGCAUAAGCCCAGUGCUGUGCCAAUCAACACUUCGGUGGAGGAACUGGAGUUAGAAGAUAAAAGUGUAAGAAAUGGCCAAAAUAUCUUGCAUCCGUUUCCCGUCUUCCUUUUGAAUUCACUGCAGCAUGCUUGAGCUUAUUUUCUCUCUCUGCAGAUUGAAUUUAUGUUUCUGUAUUUUGAUGGUACCAAUUGCUGUCCUUGUAGGCUGUGUUAGUCAAGCGCAGGAGGAUUGAAUUUUUGGGAUCAAUUGUCCAACCACAACAGGGCAUUGAAGUUGACAUGGAGCACAAAGUUGCUGAUGAUCUUCCAGUUGAAAUUUCUACUGGGGACGAUCCCAUGGAUGUGCUCAUUGAUUGUGCGAUGCAGAGCUCUGGUGACGCGAAUGGUUGUGGUAAGGGGAACAUACUAAAUGGCAAUUAAUACAAUUAGGCUUUAUGUGCUUUGGUUUCUUUCAUUCUUGAAAGUUGGCCAGGAGGUAUGGCAUGCACAUGAAUGUAAAUGCAUCAACGUUCUUGCUUCUUCCUUGAUCAGAUAUCUAAAGGUACACUUCUUUUUUUUUCCUGUAAUCUAUUGUUUUUACUGAAAUCCAGAGGUUAUACAGGUAAUCAACCAGCAAGGUUGAGACUGCCAAAAAUAUGCGCUGCAAUUGGCUGGAAAGAGCCAUCAUUUGACUUUGAAGAACAAGGACCUCCUCAUAACAAAUUGUGAGUUUUCCUAUUAACCGAUGAAUGUUACAUUUAAUGUGCAUGCACUUCCAAUGUGUAUAACACUGUUGUGUAUUAUGUUACCAAAAAAAGCUAAACCGUCAAGCGAUAUCCUGUGAGGCAGUAUUUUCUGCGCCCCCCCACCCACACCAGCACCACCACCACCAAAAAAAAGAUGAACCAUAAUGUUGUAUACAAUAUAUUUUUAUUGUAGAUUUUAAUGUUGCGAUAUAUUAUUAUGUCAAUGCUGGAAUAUGAUCACUGCAAAUGCAUGAAAAGUACUCUAGCUGCAUAAAUUCACAUACACAAGAGCAGUCCAGAACCGGGAAAAUAGCUGAAGUUCCAUAAGUAGAGGGUACCUGUAAGUUUGUGUCCUUUACGUAAGAAAUAUAGUCGCAUGUAAAAACUAUAAAGCUCUUUCCAAUCUAGAUGGCUGAAAGAAGAAACAAAGGUGAAAAGAAAGCAGCAUUGUUUCUAAGAAUAAAACAACCAAGUCAUUGUUAGUACAGUACAAGAAAUAAGAAUAUAAUUAAUUCAAAAAGAAUGAAAUGGAGAGCUGUCAAACUUUUCCAGAAUUUCUGGUUACAGGAAACGGCAAUGGGUUCAUUUUUUCUCCUUUUCUUUUUUAGCCAGUAUUCUAACCAUGAUGUCCACCUUUAACUCCUUAAGUAGCACCCGUAAAGUGGCCCAAAUUUGGUUAGCGACCAUCAUUUGUCAUCUAUGUGAUACAAUAAUUCAUUGACUUUCCAUGAUAAACUGGUUAUUAUUAGACUCAACUGUGGUAGAAAUGGGAAUGAAUGAUUUCUCCUGAACCCUGCAGAUUCACUUGCAAGGUGACUGUCCACCUAGAGGGACUCGUCAACACUGUUAUGGAGUGCUUCGGUGACCCCAAGCCUAAGAAGAAAGCUGCACAAGAUCAUGCUGCUCAAGCGGCACUGUGGUGCCUCGAGCGCUUUGGGCAUGCCAAGUGAUCUUCAGAUGUGUCGCUACAAGCAGCGCGUCUGUCUGCACUCCUGCUGCUCUGUCUGACCAACCUUUGUUUCCGUUGCCAUAUGUACAUGUCUCGUUUAACCUAGGGUCAGGUGGUAUAGUUGUUCGUUCAUUGGUGCUUAGCCGUGCUUGAACUUGUUGCUGGUGGCAGAAUGUCAGCACCAUCAUCGUCGUCCUCUGUGGAUCCCUCCCCGUGAGGAGUCAUUUUGGCCUGGGCGCGUGGUUAAGAAUUUCAUUCCUGGGUAGUACAUAUCAUGCUGUGACGAUUGUUGUGGCAUAUCGAUUAUCCAAUUGUCCUUGCAGUUGUGGGUACCUGACUGUCGCUUGAUUUUGAAUCCCGAGCCAUGGCAUGAGUUUUGGUUUACGCCCCGCCACCACCGGUGCCAUUCUGCUGAACACCACGCCGCUGCCACCGCUGCCUCCUCCAUAUACCGGACCACGGCUGAUAUAGGUUCUCUUAAGCGAGGACGUUGGCAUUACCCUUUGGCUCUCCACAAUUCCACGCCCUACGUUGUUUGGGAUAACCAUAUAAAUUUCUUUCGUAGUGUAAACUUACGAGCCCUUGGUUCUUGCGAUCUCUUGUUGAGGUACAGCAAAGUGAUACCCCCUAGAUCGCUCUUAAAUUGCAUGAGAUGGUUAAGUUCCAUCCACACAAUUCAAGGUUGAUGUUAUUCGUGCUCAAUUCAGUUCUUACAUGUAAACUCACGUUUCCAACUCGUUCUAACCAGAGGAGCAUGUCAAUAUACCAAUGGCAAAUAGAUUGAACAAAAUGCAUAUUUACUGUUUUAGUAGAAAAGGCCAAGUGGCCAUUUUUAAUGUCAUGGAGCUCUCUCUGUUUUUGUUCAUGACUGAAAUAUAGUUAAAAAUUAAAAUAUUUCUUGAGGUGGCAUGUUUACACGACUGAAUUUCUGUCUUUUUUUUUUGCGGGUCUUCUAUUAGGUGACAACAUAGGAUUCUACAUAUACGAUAAUACUUAAUAGCACUGCAAUAUCUUGUCAUUGAAGAUAUCAGCAAUUAAAAUCCUUGGCUUUCUAUUUAACUUCAGUGGCCAAAAAUAUGGAAAGCUUGCUAGACAAUUACAGGCAAAGAUCAUAUCCGCCGAUAGCUAGUUUAGCAUUAGUUCCCUGUUGCAAUUGGUGGAUAGGACUUACCUGUAAAUGAGAAAUUGCACCCCUACAUGAUGUUGGUCAUUUCAACACUCUGCAAUGCACAACUGGUGAACUGAUUUGACAAUGCUGCAUUGAACUUCAGACACAGUUCCAACUCGUGCUCAUGCUUUGCUGAUAGAGUUAAGUAGUUAACUAAAAGUCAAAGACGCCAACCAAACUAUACAUUUAGAUAUGCCUGCCUCUAAGGCUCUAACAUGGAAAAAAAAUCCCAAAAUGAGGGGUGUCCAUCUAUUUCAGAAACAUUGAAAGAAAUUUCUGAGUAGGAUCACAUCAUAAGGGUCCUGUAAGUGCAGAACAUACCAUGACUGCAACCUGGUCAUAUGAAAAGUUCUAAAUCAUAUCUUGCUUCUAAAUUCACUAUCUCCAAACUUCAUAAAUCAUCUCUUGAAUCUAAAGGAGAAAAAUUGUGGCGACAUUGCCUAGCUCUAAAACCAAAUACUAUCUGGCAGGAUUUAGCACUGGGACAGCAGAUAUUGAUAAUUAAUUUUGCUGUAGUCAACAAGAUGAGUUUUUGACAGUUUGUGUUUACUCACCGGGGAAGGCGGUCUAGCAAAUUUGUUGUCAAGGAUUGCACUGCACGAUCAUAAGCAAUCUCUGUUCUUUUGGCCAAAUCAUCCCAACUAUAAAGUUUUUUCAUCUAGAAUUCACAUUAGAGACAACUGAAUGAACACCAGAAAACUUGCAUAGUGAUCUCUGACUUAAAAGGCUCAUGUAAAAUGCCCACAAGUGACAUGGUACAAUGCUGAGUUCAUGCAAGGUGUAGAAAUCUGAGAGUUAAACUUCACCUGAAGAUGCAUAAAUUGAGGAUUUAUGCCAGGUAGCAUGUCAAUAGCUUUCUUAACAGCUCUGACCAUAUCUUCUGGUGUUGAUUCUGCAAGUACUAUCAUGUCAUCUGGAAGAACCUGAAAAAGAAAGAAUGGUUAGCAGGAAACUCUGAAAUCAUCUGACUAAAGUCAUUCCCUAUAAAACUUAAAAGAGAAACUUACUACUCCCUCAGUUUUUAAAUUUUUGACGUUUAGAACAAGCUAAUUAACUAAAACGGAGGCAGUAUCAUAAAGCACAUACCUCUGGGACACCUCGACGCUAGCGCUUACUGUCAACAGUCCACAGCUAGCUGCUUCUAAAAUGGCGAUGCAAAAUGCCUCCGUAAGUGAACUAAAAGUAAAAGAAAAAAAUGCUAUGUUUCAGUAUUACUGUGCUCUAUCCACAUACAGGUUGCACACUCAUCUGUGGCACGUGAACGAACAAUCUAUUCUCUACGAGAGGUUAGAAUAUAACAGAUGAGGAAAAGAACUCUGUACUUCUGUUUACCCCUGAUCCAUUUAAGUACAUUCAAAACUCCAGAAAGAAAAAACUUCCCAUAAUAUCUAUGAACCAAUCUAUACACUAAAUCCUAUGUCAAAUAUAUGUUGGCAGCCCACAUGUUCACAAGAGCACUUCAUUAAUCUGAUAUAAGGAUGUCAAAAUUCUACUGCAAGUGCACAAAAGAUAUCCUAUAUUCAAAAUGGUUCAAGACCUCCAAUGAGAAAAUGAGGGACAAACGCACUACAAAGCUAGAAACCAUAUAUUAACAGGGCAUGCCUGUUUAAAAAUAUAUGACCAGAGAUCAGAACUGACCGUACUUGAGCAUGAGGUACAGCUCCUAACAUUUCAACUCUAUCCUGAAGGGAGAACUUCUCCCUCAUCUCUCCAAGUCGCACACGUUUUGGACCAUCACCUCCGACAAUAAAGCGAACCUGGGUCCAUAGAGUUGUUUUAUAAAAAAUACAGCCAACGGAUCAAAUACACCACAUCGUAUACUUCAAGAAAGUAAUGGUGCAGGAUGACUAGAUGAAAACAGCUGGACACUAACGCCCAAUGAAUCUGUACUGUCAUAUACUUGGUUUUAUGAUGCAAAAUCAACAAAUUUGUAAUAUCAAGACAGUCUAUGUUUAUAUGCUCCAGAACACAGGCUUCUCCCCUAGUAUAUGCAUGCACUAACCUAUGUGAUUUUGAUUCGGAGUGAUGUAGCUCCAACUCACCUUUGGAAAUAGACGACACACUUCUGGAAUUACUUCCACAAGAAGGUCUGCACCUUUUCGGUACACUAACCUACUGAUCACAACAAUAACUAUUUCAUCACAGCCUAGGCGCUCUGGGGAGGGAGUAAACAUUGCAGUAUCCACGGCAUUAGGAACCAUAAAAACUUUCUCCGGAGAUAUCCCAGACCUCAAGACAGUAUUCUCUUUGCUUGUAUGAGAAACACAUAUUGCCUGGUCAAUAUCUGGAAGAGUAAACUGGAUGUGAAUGCUUCCAGCAUCAGCAAAACCAUAAAGUGAGUGAUCUGUGAAGACAACUUUGUACCCCAUCAUCCGAGCAUUCAUCAACGCUUCAUGACACAAUGUUGAAAAAGCCUGAUGUCCGUGCAUGACAGAAAUCCUCUCACGUAUAAUAAUGGUUCUUACAACUGGAAAUGUCAAGAAUAACGUAGGCAGUGUAUUCUGCAUCAGGAAUGGUCUCCAUGGUACAUAAUAAACCUUCAAACCAUUUGUGACAUAACGUACUCCAGAUCGGUUCCAUAUGCGUGUGUCAUGACAACAACCUAGGCAAUCAAACAUAAAUUUCUUAUAUUUUUCAAUAAAAUAUAGUUUUCAAUUAAUCCCAAACAGGGCUGCUUGGAACUCUGCUUAUGAGAAAGGUUUUGUUGAAAUAUUACAUGACUAUAAAGAUAACCCCAAAUAUAAAGAUCAAAAUGGUUCGGUAUCGGAGGGCUGGAGGAUUACCACCAGCAAGUUCAAUGAGAAGUUUCCCGUAGCUCAUUUCACAAAGAAGCAUGUGCAGGAGAAGGAGAAGGAGCUCAAAACUAAUUACAAGGCACUAAAAGAUGCUAAAAGAGAUAGUGGUAAUGGUUGGAAUGAAUCUUUGUGUAUGAUACUAACGGAACCAAAAGUAUGGGAGAAGCUAAUUGCGGUAAGCCAUUUGGACUCUAUAUAAAAUAUGCUAAGAAGUAGCUAAGUUAUUGUUGUUAACUAAUUAUCCUUUUUUGUUAUAUUCAAUAGAAUCACCCAAGAGUAGUAAAGUUUUGCAAAAAGCCAUUUUCCCUCUUUUACCAAUUGGAAUCACUAUAUGAAGGUGAAGUUCCCUCACUUGCAUAUCUUAAUUUGUUACUUUCAGCAUCAAACAAUUUAUUGGUUCUUUGAAACUCAUAUAAUCUAAGUUCCAAUGGCAUCUAUGAACAGGAAGUGUUGCUACAGGAAACCUAAACUUUAAUCGUUUGCACCUGCACCUUCUGCUCCUACUCCUACACCUACUCCUGAUCUCCCUCCUCAAGCUCCUGCUCUCCCACCUCCAGCUCCUGUUGAAAGAAGUAAUUCUAAAUAAAGCCUUCAUUAUGAUCUCAGUCUCUAUGGUACAAAUCCCUUUGCCUCCAGUUUUGAUGUCCAAGAGACCUCAAGUGCACGUAACGAAAACAAUGAAGCUCAAUUUGCCUCAUCAAAUCAAGAUUCAAGGCAGGGAGAAGGUGGAAAAAAGCGUAAGCAAAGUCAUAUUGAAUCUGCUCUUGAGGGAUAUGUGGAGUAUAAAAAGAGCCAAACCAGCAAAACUUUGGAAACUCUUGAAGAAAAGAAAAGGCAUGAGGAAGAAUUUUCAGUUGAGAAGUGUGUUGAUCAAGUGGAUGCUAUGGUUGAAUUAACCGAUGAGAAGAAGAUGCUUUGAAUCUUUUUGAAUCUGAGACACUUGGGAAGACAUUCAUUACAACAAGAAUCCUAAUGUUCGAUUACUGUGGCUAAAACAAAAAAUCAGGUAUGUCUCUUUAAUAUGCUUAGUGUAUGGUUCAUGAAAAUUUACUUAUCUGAUCAUGUCUAACCAUGUAAAAUUUUGCUUUAUGUGAACCUUCUGCUGAGCUGCUGACAUGGCUAAAUUAUUUCACUUUUUUGUUUAAUUGUAGAGCCCUUAUGGGAGGCACUACAUGAUGUGAGAGUUAGUCGCCAAAAUCCCAAAGGUAGCUUAUGUGUUGUUUCUUUCAUGCUAAGUAUCAUAGCUUUUCCAUCAUGUCAGUUUUGCUACAUUUUACUCUAUGUUUACUGAAAUGAUUAGUUCAUUUUUUCUGAACUUGUUAUAGACCAACUUAUUUGCUAAUCCUUGAUUUGUUCCAUUGAUCAUUGGUUGGUACAGCAAGUUACUAUUAAUCAACUUGUGCUGGAUAUUACACUCUUGCUUUGUGUGAAUCUUCUGCUACUGAUAUGGUUGAAUUAUUUUAAAAAUUUUAUUCUUUUGUUAACUGUAGUGCCCUUAGUGUAAGCACUACAUGAUCCUAACAUCACGUGGAUUGUCAAGAUCACUAAAUAAUGAGUAUCUGAAAGACCAAAACAAUAUAUAAGUGAUUGUCCAUGCAGAUUUCUAGUUACUUGUGACAUUUUUUAUCUGGACAGAUUGGAUUGCUAGUUCAGUCUCAUAAGCUUCCUGAAAUUUAAGCACAAUGCAUAUAAGAAAAGUCAUGUCCUGUUUGCUUGUUUCCUGAUAAGGAGGAUCUUGUUACAUAAGCUUCGUAAAAGAUCUCGUGAUAGAUUUUCUUUUGACCAUCGUUUUGUGCCAAAUUGUUGUGAACCCUUGCGUAAGUAAUUCUGAAAAAGUCCUUGUGUAAGUAAUUCUGAAAAAGUAUAUUUGCUGCAAGAUUUUGUUUGCAUUGUUGUAGCAAAAUUAUUGUGAGCUAAGCUAAUCUGUUUGGUUUUAUUUUCGAGCUUAAGCUGAAGCCAUAUUUUGAUCUUGUCUUGUCUAGUAGGAAACUACAACAGUGUUGUCUCUCUCGUCUUUGCAAACUUGUGCUAGAUAUUUACAUCUUGCUUUAUGUGCUGCCAGUCUGCCACCUUCUACUGUUGACAUGGCUGAAUUAUUUCACAAUUUUGACUCUUUUUUUUUACCUGCAGAGUCCGGAAGCAAUACAUGAUCUAAGAAAAAUGAAGCGAUUUGUGCUGAAUUGACAUGCCAGUUUACUAGUCCUUGAUGCUUGCACAUGUGUUCUUUACAUGCUGAAGUGCGUGGUAUUGUGCCACGAUAGCAGUUAUGAAAAAUUUUGAGUAUAUUGUGUAACAUAGAGUUGCAUGGUGUGAAUCAUUUUAGCUAUCUUCUCGUUUUGAGUAUGUUGGUGCUGGUCGAGAAGGGUUAAGCUUAUAUGUAAUAGCAUGUGCCUGUUACCCCCGAGGAUCAUGGAGUAAUAUUCUGCUACUUUGAAUAAUAUCUUGAUAAUAUAUGCAUUAUGCUUAUAUGGACUAGUAUAACAUAUGACACUCUAUGUCCAUUAAGUUUACAGACAGUACAUCCUUGUAUUUUGCGGCGAGAAGAAAUCCUCAUCCCUGUCAAUGCUCAUGGGGGUAUUUUCCUCCCAUCCCCAUCACCGCGCGGGGAAUAAUUCCCCAUGGGGUCCCGUCCCCGCAAACUAUCCAGCGAAAAAUCACCAUAGGAGGUAAAUCAUCAUCGCCGGCUGCAGCAGUCCGUUACAAAAAUGUCGUUCGUACAAAGAGUUAAAGCGAUGGCCAAUAAACAUUGACGGGGAGCACAGUGCGCUUGGGGCUGUGGGUGGGAGCUGGGAGCACAGCACGCAGGAAUGCGUCAGGGAGGGAGGCGGUCAGGGACGCCCUCUUGUUGUGCCGCCGGUGUCUACCGGUAGUGGCGCUGUGACUCAAAAACCUUGAGAAGAUUAGGGUUGGGACAUUGCGGCAGCACUACAUAUCUGAGAAUUGAUGUAUAGAUGUUGGCUAGUGGCGGACGGACGGUCAGAUGGGACGUGGGGAACAAAAUGGGCCAGUUGGGCAUUUCUUGACUUCGGUGCUCAUACAUGGUCUAGAUAAAUCGGGGUCUUGCGGGGAAUAGGGACAGAGGAUAGGGGAUCAUCCCAGCCUGGCGGGGGAGGAAUUAGCCCCGUUUUCGUCCCCGUGGGGAUAAAAAUACUACCGUCCCCGUACCCUAAGGCCUAGUUUGGUAACAUGGGGAGCUAAUCCAGGGAGUCCAGGGAGUACGCCCUGGAGGUGAAUUUUUACGGGAAUUCUUUUUCCCAUCAAUUUCCUAGGUGGUAAAUCCCUGUCAAUCUUGGAGAUCAUAGAAAUAAAUAAUAAUUUGUCAGCACAGCGAAGCUUGUGGCCGCACAGGCGCACAACGGUGUCCCCAGGGCCCGUGCGUCAAUGCACGUGGCCUUGCAGCACCGCUCCUGGAGCACAAACGGCGGCGCCGGUGGCCGUGCAAUAGAGCCCCUCGAGCGACUACAUCAGCACCCCUCACCAAAUAUGAAGGACGCGAAGCGGCGCCAAGAAUCGAGCCGUCGGCACACUAGCUGCUCGGCCACCUACUUGGGGUUGAGCAGCGCAAGCUCAGUGAGCUUCUUAGCAGGCCCGGCGAGGUGGUCCUGUCCAUGGAGCUGCUCAUCUUAUACCCCGCGGCCAUGGCGCAAGCGAGCUGGAGGUCACGACCUUGCGCGCCAGGGGCCUCGUCAGCCGCGCCCCGAUCUCGCUGCCAGCUACCCCGCACCGGGACCUUGUCGGUCCCAUCACGGCCUAGCUGCUGAGGCAAGGCGCGCUCCUAGACCUUGCACCGUGCCGAGUUUCUGCGGCCGUGCCCAGCUCCAGUCCCCUCAUCGGCUGCCCCCCGCGCCGCCGAGUUGAACGAGAUGGGGAGGCAGGGGCUCGGGGCAACGCUUGGACGGAGGGUGUCGGUGCCUAGUCGGAGGCGGGCAGCGGCGCUAGGCGAAGAUGACGCAUCGAAGAUGGGUACCUCGACGGGGAGACAACAGGAUGGAGCUUGGGCGCGGAGUGGAGAAGGGCUCGUGGAAGGGGAGGGGGAGCGGCGACGGGGAAGUGCUCACCUCGUAUCGCUCGCGAUUCGCGAAGCGGGACGGGGAAGCUGUGCCUGGACCCUCGAGGUGGGGAAGAGCCGCCCUAGGGAAAACACGAGGGUCGGGUCGCCCUUCCCGUUAGCGUGGGCUUCCAAAAGGUAGGAAAUUUGACAUGUACUUAGCUUUCCACGUGGUAGUCCAGCUCGGGGAAAACGGGGGCAUCCCGACGGGGAUUGGUGCUCCCAAAUUAGGCCUAAUGAGGGAAUUCCUCAUGGGGAAUCGGGGGUCGGGGCCGUUGCCAUCCCUAGGCCCCAUUGGCAGAGAUGACAGGUGGGUCCAAUGGCCCGCUAUUAGCAAGGGAACGAUGGUCGACUUUUCUAAUUAUCUAAUUACUAGCAAAAUGCCCGUGCGUUGCUACGGUAAAAGAUCAAUUGUGUUUUUCAAACUAAUGACACCGUCCGGACGCACCAGAGCUGCCUCCCCGACCCCGUCCACCCGCGUCGCGCCGCCCGGCCUGUGCCCGCCGCCCGGCUUGGCUGGGGCGGUGUGGGCGGCUGGGGCCGAGGCUGGGCGGCGCGGCUCGAGCGCGGCCGUGGCAGGCGGCCAGGGCCGAGGCGGCGCGGGAGCUCUCUGACAAGUGACGAAUUUUUUUUGGCAAAAGUCUUACUUGCUUUAAUAUUAGGUAGAGAUAGAGAUUAUGUUCUGAGCGAGUUCAAAGCGCUUGCCCAUUUCUUUCCAACUGACGUUGCGGAGUGCUAGAGCUUAUCUCGCACAGACCACCUCCUCUCCUCGUUUCUCUCAUCCUACUCGUUUCUUCCUCUUUUCACCAUUGCUUAUUUUUCCCUCAUAUCCCGGAGCUAGCAAAGUAUGCGCUUCCUGCUAGGAGGUGGUGGCUCGGGUCACCAGUCAACACUCCCGAGCUCCGCCGGUGAGCUUGAGCAUGACGUUGAGAGGGAAAGGAGGCAGCUUCUCUUCCCCUUCUCUUCUUCUGAUCUUCUCAUCUUUCUCUCUCGGCUUCUCCAAUCCAGCGAGCGUAGCAGUGUGGCUGAGCAACGGUGGUGGCACCGCUGCGAGCGCGGCUCCUGCACAAAUCCAAUGGCGGGCCGAGCGAAGCGCGGCAGCUGGAGAGCUACGGCGAAGCUCGCACGCAUCGGCGUUGCGGCCACGCGGCGUCGUCACUCGCAGCAAUACCAGGCUUAACAGAGCACGGCCGGUCGAGCGGCCGGCCUGCCUAGCACAAUUCAGCGGGAGCGGGCGGCGAACAGUCUACGUAAGAAAGCACGCAAAUAAAACAAUGAAAUUAGAUUCCAUAGGAUAUAGGAUAUGAAGUAGAUAAUAGCAACAAAGGGAACGCCAGCAUUAUAAGAAACCAAGAGAAACAAAUUGAGGAGUAUUCAUCAACAUAAAGAAAACACCAUUUUUUCAAGGUCAAGCAGUGAGAAAAACAGAAACAGAAAAAAAAUGGCAUCUCAAAUAGCAUUGCUAAAUCAAUCUAGUGGCACAAACUAUGUGUUCCACCACAGACCUAACAUUCUAAACUAUCGGUUUAAUAAACCUAGAAACAAAAAGGAAAAAUGCAUGAGUUGCUACUGGAACAGACCUAACAUUCUAAACUAUCGGUUUAAUAAACCUUGAAACAAAAAGGAAAAAUGCAUGAGUUGCUACUGAGGGACUACUGCUACCCUUGCUGGGUAACAUUUUAGAUAGCGUAUAAAAGUACAAUAGUAACGAAAGCAAUUUCUCCAACCAACCAUCAGCAUUCUUGGAAGGUUCAGAAUAGUUCAGGAUAACGAUUGUGCUAAUAGAAAGACCAAUUUGUAAUGGAUAUUCAGUUAUGGUACUCAGAAUUUGAAGAGUCUAACUUUGUCCAAAAUAACACAUGAAAAAUAAUGCACUGAAAAUGGAGAGGAAUUGACACAACGUGAGUUUUUGAAAAGGAAAAACAACUACACCAUCAAACAGCUUUAGAUUCUUUCGUAGCCUAAAUACAAUAUGAAUUGCGACAUCCAGAAUGGCUGGCAUACCUCACAAGCAACAAGUCCAACAAUGGCUUCUCAUUUCAUCCACUGGUGAGAACUUCCUUUUGAAACACAAUGACUACCUUCUGCCAAAUCCUGUCGCGCUUGUGAAGUUUCAUUAAGAUUAUUGUCUUGAGAAAGCUCAUGACUUGGACAUGUAUCAAGGCUGUUGAUGGACCUGACAUCUACCAUAAAAUUUUUUACCUUCACCUGCAAGGAAAAGGGAAUUAUUUACCCGGUAGAGCAUACACCAUGUUUAAUGUAAUGAUUGUUUUUUAUUGCAAAACUGAGAAGCAAAUGCAACAGACAUCAGUUACACCACUGUGAAUCCUUGCUUUUGUGACGUAUGUCUCAUGGCACUAUCACAGUUGGUCUAAGCAUUCUUUUUUUUUCAAACACGCAGGAAAGCUGCAUAUCAUUAUAUUAAUUGGAGAAGAUAGAGUCAUACAGAGACCCAAACACACACUCACACACCCCAAAACCUGGUUAAAUGCCCGCCCUGUUACCUGUUUUGAAAUCUGAAGAGCAAUGAGUUCUGCUAUGCCAGUUCCAGCCUGCAGUCAAAUACAUAAUCAGAAUCUUUUCUUCCGUGUCUCUAAAAUGAAGAAUCUCAUUGAUGGGAACAAUUUCAAUUCAACGGAUAUAUUUCAACAGUUUGACGGCAAAGGGAAAAAAAAGUCCACCAAGAUAAGCUAUGAGGCUAUCACAGUAUCACUAACCUCCCCAGCACCAAGGAACAAAUACGUGUGCUCUGCUAGGGUCCCACCAACCACCUUGAGUGAUGCUAACAAACUUGCAAGGACCACUGAUGCUGUGCCCUGCAAUCAUUCAUAUUUCCAUAUUGGUACAACCAUAAAAGGCAACAGACUGGAUGAUGGUGAUGACUCAAUUAAGGAUCACACCUGGUAAUAGUAAAAAAGAAAAAUAUCAUUGUUUGGUUCCAUUUACCUGGAUAUCAUCAUUGAAAACAAGAUGACUCUUGCUAUAUUUUUCAAGCAGAUCAAAAGCAUUAUGAUUGGCAAAGUCCUCAAACUGUAAAAAAAAAACGGUUACAUUUUGUGAUAAGAGUAAAUUGAUCUGACAUAGCAACAAUAGUACACUGAAAGUCUCUGACUCACCUGAAUGAGGACUUUCUCACCGUAGAUUUGCACCACAGCGCUCAUGAAUUCUUCUAUAAGCUCAUGAUAUUCCUGCCAUUAAGGAAAAUGCACAUGUAAGGCCUCAAGUGCCUGAUAUUUUGCCAACUCCUUACUUCCUGCAAUCUUGUCGCAACUACAUACCUUGCCAGUUGCACGUUUUUGCCGCAGUCCAAUGUAGAACUCAUCAUUAAGCAGUUCCUCACCCAAACUAAAGCGAUAAAUGACCAAAAUAUGCAACCUGACAAACUUAAAAAAUCCACUGCCACUCAAAUUUUCAUCUUCUUAUUUCCUACAUACCGCCUUCCAUCUUCUGAAGCCUUCCAUCAUCCCUUUUACUGGCACCUUGCCUCCUGAAAAUGGACGGCAAUAUUUAAUAAUAUGUUCACAAGUAAAAUUUUCAAGCACCAGAUUUAACUGACAUAUAAUUACCAAUUGGACAAAAACAGGGAGUGAAAAUGACAAAAUAAUAUUUACUGAAUAAAACAUCUGAAUGGUGAAAUAGGAAGAUGAUAACUACUGAUAAUACUGACAGGCUAGCAUCUACACCAGAUAAUAGCUAGUGCCAAAUUUGUCUGCACUACUUCAUGAAUAAAAAGAAACAUAGGUUUUUCAGUUUAAUCAAUCUGACUAACCUUACAUUUGUGAACCGGAUCUACUUGACCCUAUACCCGGCCAGCCCAUAAAUCUGACGAGCAGGGCAUCUCAGCUAUCCAAUUAAGCAAUCAAGCAACCCAAACAACACCUUGAUUGGGAUUUGUUUUCUACUGAUGCACAAACUGAACGAGAGGGAAAUUACCUAGGAUUUGUGGAAGAGGAUUGACCUCCGUGGCUGCCAACAUGCUGCACUUGGCGGAGGCUGUCAUGGUGAAGAUUUCAGGUUCACGAAUCCCUGAUGUGGUGACGCGUGAGUUAGACCUCUCGGUGAAGAAGCCGUCCGUUUGCAGGGGCCGCCGGCCAUUCUUCUCUAGGCCCGCCAUCGAACGGCGCUGCUGUGCGGCCUACGCCGGCAACGCCGCAGAGACCUACCAUAGCCAUCGGCCACUCGCGAUGAGAUUGGAAGGGAGAAGUGAGGCGAGAUAUGGAUUGGAGAUUGGCGGGGAGCCUGGCGGGAAAGCUUGCACCACGCGGGAGAUCGAUAGAAUCACAGGAGGAGCUCCACGCUUCGCACGGGAUCGAUGAGGAGGCCCUGCGGCGGUGCUGCUCGAAGGCGCGGAGGAACUCGAGCGCGGGCGGGCGGGCGGGCGGCACGCCCACAGGCCUCCUCUCCUCCUCCCUCCGGUCCCCACCUCCUCUUCUUCCUCUCUCUCUCUCUCUCUCUCUCUCUCUCUCUCUCUCUCUCUCUCCCCCCCCGGCUCCUCCUCCCUCUCCCCCGGCCGAGGCGGGCGGCCGGGGCCAAGGCUGGGGAGGGGGCGGCGCGGGGAGGGGCGGCUCGGUCGGCGCGGGAUGUGGAGGGCGGCGCGGUCGGGUCGGCGACGCGCCGCCGGGUCGCGCCGCGCCCAGGGGCUGCGUGGGGGCGCGCCCAAUCCCCCGAAGAAAGAGAAGCUUUUUCCCCUAACCCCCUCCCUUCCCUCCUUUUUCCACCCGAGGCCCCCGUCUCUUGACAAUUGGACUGCGGGUUGAUUACACAAAACAUAAGGGGUUUUUCUGCAAAAUUACCACGACGUACAAAAAUCCGGACAGAGGCGUUACUUGCUUUAAUAAUAGGAGGCGUUACUUGCUUUAAUAAUAGGUAAAGAUAAAGAUACUGUAUCUGUUAAAUUUUUGCAAUAGAGUACUACCGAUGGUGCCUGGUGAGAGUCGGAGCAUAUGUAGUAUCAUCCCUGCUCACUAGCUUAUUGAUUCGACAUUUUAUUUCCAUAUCCAUGUGACGCGUCGCGUGUGUAUAUAUGAGUUACUCCUUCCGUUUCAAAUGGUAGGUCGUUUUGAUUUUUUAUUUAUAGUUUUUGCUAUACAUCUAGAUAUACUCUAUGUCUAAAUAGAUAGCAAAAAUUAUAUAUCUAGAAAUGCCAAAACCCACAGGAAAAUAUCAUCUGUGCAUGCAGUAGUAUCAUGGCACAAAUUCUCACUAGCUUAUUGAUUAACGUUUUUAUUUGCAUGUGAUGCGAAUUUGAUGCUUCCAUAUAAAUAGCAUAAAUGCAUCUUCAAUGUGCGCAUCAACCGUCAUUUGUGCUUUGACGGCAUGGAUUUUCAGAGUGAAGAUGCGGUACUGAUGACUGAUGAUCGUGUGCCACCUGGACCUAAUAAUUACCCUCACGAUUCUGGUUCCCGUUUUGUUACUUGUUUCUGGCUGAAUCUCGAGCUUAACAGUCGAUAAUACUUUUGCAGAAACUCAAAUGUUGUCGCAAAUCCAUUGCAUAGGUUUCCUGAACCAAGAGAAAAAAAGGAUCUUGUCACGUGAUGCUGCUGCUGCCAUGACUCGUCGCUUUGUCAAACAAUAGAACAUGUACAAAUGAGGAGGGAGCCGUUAUACAUGUCCCCGUCUCCCUGAGCAGUAGUCUACGGCAUCCGGUGAGAGUGCCAAACCCAGACGCCUGGCGCAUGACCACGGUAACAUGAACUGCUUCCAGCGGAUCUGAUCGUGACCGGUGCAAGUCCAACGCAUGUUCAGAGUCCGUAUCGACAGCAGCUUUAGACUAACCCAAAUGGAUCCGGGCGCUUGCGCAUCAGCAUGAAUAGUCAAGGUUUGGGGUAGUGGUUUAGUUACUUUUUUUGGCAGGUGAGGUUUAGUUCUUGAAUGUGAUUGCUCAGAACUUGUUUCCCCGUAGUAUGGUACACAUGUAGAAAGCAAGUACUUAGCAAUGUUUAAUUCUUAUUUGUGAUGCAAGUAAUAUGAUGUACAUCAAGUCAGCACUGCCGGGAGGCGCAUUAUGGCCCGACAUGGUGCCUUCGCGACUAGUGGACAUGGUGUCCAUGCAUGGUCAUGGCCCAGCGAAGACUAUAUCUCUGAGGGUCCAGCAGCUAUGCAAUGCAGCCUCCCUUAAUCAUCUAGACUCAAAUGCCCUUUUGGCUUAGGUUAUUGCUUUUUCUGCACAUCCAAUUUUUUUAAUGUUAGACAUAGAGGUUAUCUGUACACCAGUAGUAAAGUUAUGCGCAUAACUUUUAUGUAUAUCAAUAAAUUAGGUGUUGAAAUAUUUAUCAUAUAACUUUUUAUACAUAAAUUAUAUAGCAAAAUUUUAUAUCAUCCCCGAUUUAUUUUUUUACUUUUUACAUAAGGUAUGCAUACAAUUUUUUCUUAGUCAAUAAAUUAGACCAAGAGUAUAUUUUUUCGCAUAAGUUAUGCAUAUAAAUUAUUGAUCAUAUCUAAUCCAGGGAUAUAAAUUAUUGAUCAUUUCUAAUCAAGCUUUUAUCUUUGACACAUGACUUUUCCCUUCACAACUUUUUGCACUAAUAAGUUUAUAACCAGGCAUAACUUAUUUAUGCAAAGAAGUUAUAUUUACGCAAUUCUUAAUUCAUUAUCCCCCAAAGUUUUGCAUGUUACAAGUCAUUCGCAUAGCAUGCCAUUCACAUAAGUUAUAUGCAUACCAAUCAUAAGUUUAUGCAUGGACCUUCUAUGCGAAUCAAUAAGUUAGGCGUUCAAAUAUUAUUAUAUACAACUUUUUUGUACAUAAGUUAUAUAGAUAAAUCUUAUAUCAUGCUUGAUUUUUAUUUUUGCAUUUUGCAAGUUAAUAAGUUAGACCGAUACAUUAUUUAUAGAUAUUUUUUCGCAUAAGGUAUGCAUAUAAAUUAUUGGUCAUAUCUAAAUCCAGGGAUAUAACUUUAUAAACAACAAUUUUUCACAAGAUUUUUUCAUCAUUUUUUGAUAAGGGAAGUUCUCAACUUAGUAGCAUUUAUCUCCUCUUUUAUUCAGGACAUCUACUAUACUUUUUUGUUAUCUUCAAAACAUGCAUAAUAUUUUACUUGAUAAAAUGUUGUGUACAAUCUACUAACUUCAUGGUGUUUUCAUGUGCAGCACUAGCACAUUUUCUACUCCUUCUGGAAUUGCCUCUGUCAAUGGCUGGUGAGUAGUCACAUAAUUUGUAUUGCAGUUGGAUAGGUCAUGCUGCUCUAUGUUGUGCCCCUUAGUUUCUUUUGACUCCAAGCUAUUGCAUAUAUACACAAUACAAAUGAGGUCGUAAAAUGUUUGUGUUGCCAGACCUAUUUAGUGCACAAUUGUUUAUGCAUGUCCUCCCUAUCCAUUGUGUUGUUUAGUAUUCAUAAUAGAUAACGAUGUUUAAGAUAAACUUUUUCCCUUGAAAAAGUGUGUACAACAUAGGUCAUGCAGAUAAGUUAGAUACAUAAGUUAUUUGUUAUGCACCUAAGUUAUAUAUGUCAGAAGUUAUAUAUUAGUUAUAAGCUAUGUGAAGAAAUUAUAUAUUUGUUUAAGACAUAACUUUUUUCCUUUACAAGUUUUGUAUAUGGUAUAAGUUGCACAUCGAUUAUGCAUAGACUUAUAACUUAUAUGUCUCAAGUUAAUACCGGUUAUAAAUUAUGCACAAAAGUUAUAUAAGUUGUGUUAGUAAUAUAAUAACAUUGUUUCAUCAAAAGUUUAUGUAAGUUUUGACCUUAAGUUUUUGUUUCUUUUUGUUAAAUAAUUGCACAUAACUUUCUGUGCAUAAGUUAUGUGGAUAAAUUCUGUGCCAUGUCAAUAAGUUAGGAUGAGAUAAAACUAUUGUAUACAUAUAUUUUUGCACAUAAGUUAUGCUCAUAAAUUUUGUAUAUGUCAACAAGUUAGGCAAAUAGAUCAUUUAUAUAUUUUCCGUGAUUAAUCAACGUAUAUAAAUUAUUAGUUGUGUCAUUAAGUUUAUAUAAGAAUGUUUAUUUUCACAAUAUUUUUGACUUUUUAUCAUGUCAAUAAGUUAGGCUUAAAGAUUAUUACAUAUAAUUUUUUGCACAAUAUAGGCAGAUAAAUUUUGGUCAUAUCAACAGGUUAGGUUGAGGUAUUAUUUGCAUAGUUUUUUGCAUAAGUUAUGUAGAUAAACUAUAUUCUUGUCAAUAAGUUAAACCUAGAGGUUUUUUAUAUAUUUUUUUCAUAAGGUAUGCAGAUAAAUUUUGGUUAUGUCAUUAAGUUAGAUAAGUGGCUUUUUUAUAUAUAUUUGUAUGCAUAAGUUAUUUGGUAUGUCAAACUUAAAACUUAAGAAUAUAACUUCACAUGACUAUUUUUUCAUUUGUUAUAUACACUACUAACUCUAUUCUCAUUUUCUAAAAUUUUGAUGACAAAUUAGAAAUGACAGGUUACGCCGCAUGUUCCUAGGGUCAAGCAAGAAUUAAGAUCAGUAUUGUAUGAAAGAGAGAUGGGGCAAAGUUAUAUAUGACAACUUGUAUAUACAUUUUUUGUUAGCUUUAAUGAUUUUCUGAGUUAUAUAUGCAAACAUAUCUUCACGUAUUGAAAAUACCAUUGAAAAUAGCUUUCAUCUUGAAAUUCCCCACCUAAUUUUACUCCCUCUCACCCAAACGGUUCCGAAUGAUACGAGCGACAAAAGAGAAUCCUAGAAAUGCGCAUGUAAGGAAAAUGGGCUCCCGGAACAAUGCUGGCACGGAUCUCAGCGCAUGAAAAAGAAAAUGUGAAAAAGAUGAGAGCAAGUCCAAUAGUUCUAUAAGACAAGACAUGUCAGCUGUAGACGAGUUUAGAGUCUAAUUCACACAACUUUGCUCUUCACGUUCUCCGAGACCCACUCGUCAUACUUGCAGGUCUUUAUUUCUUAGGGGGUGUUUGGAUGUUUAGGAUCUUCUAAAAUUCAUGUCACAUCGAAUAUUCAGAGGCUAAUUAGGAGUAUUAAAUAUGAGCUAAUUAUAAAACUAAUUACACAGAUGGAGGCUAAUUCACGAGACGAAUCUAUUAAGCCUAAUUAAUCCAUCAUUAGCACAUGUUUACUGUAGCAUCACAUUAUCAAAUCAUGAACUAAUUAGCCUUAAUAGAUUCAUCUUGCAAAUUAGUCUUCAUCUGUGCAAUUGGUUUUGUAAUUAGUCUAUAUUUAAUACUCCUAAUUAGUUCGAUGUGACACAAAUUUUAGGAGGGACCGAAGAACGUACACCCCCUUAGCCUUCUAUCCGCUCAACAGACACAGCACGUGCAUCGAUGACUUGGAGCUCGUGUUCAGCUGGUCGACGGAACCAGCGCCAAGCUCCCUUCUCUCUCUACGCCAGCUCCCUUCUCUCUCUACGCCAGCUCACAAGCAAAGCUGACGUGCUGGGCGAUACGACUGUUAUUGGGCUUGCUCUGAUGUGGAAAACGGGACCUGUCGGGAUAGCCCAUCUCAGGUCCAAUCUAUAUGGAUGGGCUAGAAAUCUGAGCGUUGUGGACUUCAGCGAAGAUAGUAUUUUUUUUUUUGGAACCUGGAGAAGAGAGGAUUAAAUUCCUUCAUAUUGUUCUCUAUCUUUAUUUUGCUCUCACAUCCAAUACUGAAUAUGGUCGGUCAACAGUGGGUCAUAGCCUGGGUCGUCUCUGAUGACUGAAGUUGGUUCUCGUCUGUGUCAAUGACCGAUCAAUGCUUCUGAUUGACAUGACCCCAUAGCUCUAAUCUAUAGCAAUCAUUACCAAUAGUGAUAUGAUAUUUUUUUCCUUUGCCAAAGAAAAGGGGAGAAAAGUCCCCAUAGCUCUAAUCUAUACCAAUCAUUACCAGUAGUGAUAUGAUAUUUUUUUCGGAGUCUAAUUCGCGAGACGAAUAUAUUAAGCCUAAUUAGUCCAUAAUUUGAUAAUGUGGUGCUACAGUAACUAUUUGCUAAUGAUGAAUUAAUUAGGUUUAAUAGAUUCGUCUCGUGAAUUAGUAUAAGGAUUCUGCAAUUAGUUUUAUAAUUAGCUCAUAUUUAAUCCUCCUAAUUAGUAUCGAAUAUCCGAUGUGAUACUGCUAAAAGUUGGAUGUUUGAAUACCGUGGAACGACAGUGGCGAGGAGAGCGAAGGACGAUGGAACCGUUUACCCUCCUCGUGCUCCUCGCGGCCCCUGCGUUCUGCACAACUUGACGGCAAAUGGAAUUUAUUUAACGUGAUUUCGGGCCAUGAUGGGACCUCACAAGAUUCGCAGCAUCAACAUGAACAUUUUUAAGAACUUGCUGAGCAACCAAUGCCCACGCCCCACGGAGCUCAUUUUGGCGGGUCUCCCGACGCAGUAGCAAGCAGAAGCAGAUCCGCACCGUCUCCUCCACCAGUCAACCCAUUCUGAGUAGUACCUCCACCCACUCCCGGCAACCUCCGCACGCUGCCAUGCCGCCGGUCGGUAGCCUCACCGCUGAGCAGCUCGGCCUCUUCGACGCCAACGGUGAGCGCAUGCACCGCUCCUCCGCAUUCCCUCGAGCUCUCGCCUCGCUCGCUCCCUGCAGCCGGAGAGGCGGAGAAGAAGUGAGGGCUGGUGUAGUGGCGUGCGGUGCAGCCCCUAUUGACGUAAUCCGUCUUAAUCUUAUCCGGGAUCUCGUUGUUUCUUCCCUGCAGGUUACCUCGUGCUGGAGCCGUUCUCGAGCGAGGAGGAUGUGCGGGCGCUGCGGGACCGCAUGGCCGAGCUCGUCGCCGGAAUCGGCGGCAGCAACAACUCCACCGGAUCCUGCGAGCAUCACGUAUCUGAUCACCUCGAGCCCUGCCUUACACUUGCGCUGUUUCAUCUCCCAAUACCGAACUCUGGAGUACUAGGCGCGUAGAGAGUACACCGCAACAGUUCUGUAUCCGCUUGAAAUUAUAAACCGGAGUUGCAGGUAUCAAACUUAGUGAAAUGCAUGUUUAGCGUCUAAUCAGGCUAAGUGUCUAAUAAUUGAUAAAUAGAGUUAUGUUGCUCAGUACGAUCGCAAAGGUGCGCGUGCGCCAAUUGAAAAUUAUCAUCGCAAGGAUCAUGGGAGUUGCAAGAUAUACACACCAUUUUUUCAGCUUCAUUGUUACCAGGCCAUGAUGCGAAAUGACGGAUUUGUUGGCACCGUGGUUAAUGCAUAACCUGUUUAUUUUUGUUUGGCUUAAUUAAAAGUAGUACUUUUUUUUGUUGCAGCGGAUGGCAAUGGAUGACUACUACUUUAAGAGCGGGGAUAAUAUAUCAUUCUUCUACGAGGGUAUCUGAUUUAUUUUCUAUUGACUUGUAGGCAUGAGUCACACAGUUCAUUUUUUUUACUAUAAUUUGGUAGCAUUUACAUGUUAUGUUUCGACUAUAUGAACUACUCGCCACUAUCUUUAGUUACUUCGAAAAAAAAAGAGGACAUAAAUUUUUCUACUGCCUUUAUGUUUAUUUAGUACACAUGUAGUUUAAUUUCUAGCUCUGGUAUUGCUAUGUCACUUCUCAAUAUUGACUUGAAUGACCUUAUAAAAAAAAUAUUGACUUGAAUGAUGAUAUUUCUAUUUUAUCUCUUUUGAUGUUUUUCUGGUUCAGGAUAUUUGGAUUUUGGGUAGUCUGAUUGCCUUAACUUCUUUGUAUUAUUCCACUCAUAGAUAAAGCAUUUGGAGAUGAUGGAUGCUUGAAGCAGUCGAAGGAACUUUCAAUUAGAUUCGUUGGCCAUGGUUAGUAUGUAAGUUUUGCAUUUACAUCUAAGCAAUUAAACCCUUCAGCCUGCUUGUCUUGAAUACAUUUUAUCUAUUGGUCCUAGCAAUACUAUCUUUAUAUUAAGGUUUCGGACUGCAAAUAAUCAUUUUGCUGAACAAAUGUCUUAUUUUUCUCACCACUUACGUUUCAGUCAUUCUCUGCAUGCUACUCUAGUUUCUCUAACAAGAAGUGUUUGUCAAAAAGGAAGGGAAUCAUCUUGUUUUAGUAUUAAUGUUGUACAUCUGGCCCAUUGUCAUAGGAGAUGGAGGGGGAGGAAGGCUAUAGUUAUAGGAGAUUGAUGUUCUUAUGAAUGUAUAGCUUUAGAAUUUAGCGUUUCUUAUAUCUAAUAUUUGUGCUGCCAAAAAUCUAUAAUCUGGAAUAGGGAUAAAUUGGAUAACUUAUAUUUUCAAGAUGCUCAAAAUUCAUCUAUAAUCAUUGUUACCUUAUGCUUGAAAGUCGUAGUUAUCACCUCAGCUAACGGGUUUUUAAGCCAUCUUUGAUAAGUAUCGAUUCACCGUUACAUCUAGUUCUCACCACGUUAUUUUCCAUACAGCAUUACAUGAACAUGAUCCGGUGUUCAAAAAGUUUUCUUUAUCGGAGAGUGUUUCAAGCAUAUUCUCUUCUUUGGGAUACAAGAGACCUGCAAUUGUUCAAUCUAGAUACAUCUUUAAGGUAGACUUCACAUAUCCUAAUUUAUUACUACGACAUGUUCUUUGACGACUUUAUUUAUCCUUAUUGUAUUAUUUUCUUCUUUGUAGCAACCAGGUUUUGGUGCUGAGGCAAUACCACACCAGGAUAAUACAUACCUACACACAGAACCUCCAUCAUGCACGGGGUUAUGGCUUGCACUCGAAGAUGCAACAAUUAACAAUGGUUGCCUAUGGGCAAUUCCAGGAUCACAUAAAAGUAUUUCUUUUGUGUCCAUUUGAUGAUUAAAAUAAACUUCUUUUGAAAAGCUAGACUAUGUGACUUUUUUUCUACUUUUAAUGUUUUGCAUCAGAUGGUCUGAAAAUACGAAUGAUCAAAGACGAAAAUGGUACUUAUUUUGACCGCCCUAUCCCAUCCUAUGAUCACAAAGAAUUUGUGCCAUUGGAAGUAAAAUCAGGGAGUUUGGUAAUUAUACAUGGAGAUCUCGUACAUAAAAGGUGGAGUUAUGCUUUUGUAUCACAUUUGUUUCCUAGUUAUGAUUUGCCUUUUCAUUUCUUGUCCAGUAACUUGUUUUAGCUUAUUUUCUGUAGCUUUGAGAAUCUUUCUCCAGCUUCAAGACAUGCAUUGGUCUUGCAUGUUAUAGAAACCAAAGGAUGUGAAUGGUCCAAUGGAAACUGGUUAGUUCAUGAUGGGAUUUUUUGAGAUGGCUCCAAUUAUAUGACUCAGUUUUAUUUGUUUAUUGUUUUAGAAUAUCUUGACACAACUAACUGUGCAUCCAUAAGAAAAAAAUUUCUUAUAUAGUAAUCGAAGCCUAUUUUUCACGCUUGCAUUGGACAUGGCAUGCACCGGUUCGGCGGUUCCUCAUGAAAUCACUUGCAUGAUACUUUCAUAGCAAAUUGAAUUCAUAUGAGUGCUCUAUACUAGCAAUUCAGUUACAUGUAAAAGAAAGCAAAACAAGGUAUCAUAUAAGUAAAUUUCUUGUUUGUUUAUUAGGAAUAUUGCACAUUUAAUUACCAUGCGAACAACUAUUGAAAUAUAUCUAUGACAAUAUGUUGAUUGAUUGGUGCUCUUGUUUUGUCUAAAUGAAACAUGUACUCUCGUUUUAGAAUAGAAAAAGGACAGUUUGUUUACAGUGGUGAAGCAUGUCAUACCCUUUAUCAUCUAUGAUUGAGCAUUGCCAGACAACGGAAAAUGAUAUGUUAUCUUAACAUCUUGAUUUUCCUCAUUCUCCUAACAAACUUUCCAUAUGCUUAUAUUCUCAGGUUACAAAGGAAAUCUUAACUAAACGGGGAGUUGCGGCUAUGGAAGUGACUUCCAGCCCAGGCUUCCAGUAAGCAAACUACACGGAUGGUUUUAGACUUUUAGUCACUGUCCUUGUUCCAAUAAAAUAGGGGAAUGCUGCCGAGCAAUUCGAUUCCAUAUUCACAUGUAAACUUUGUAAACACUCCCCUUAAUUAAAUAUCGUGACAAAGUCGUUGCUUAUUUCUUUCUUAGAGUUGGCGCAUGCGUGGAUGUACAGAAAUAGACACGUCUUAGUCGGAUGACGAUUCACAUGAUGCUUAGACUACCAAAAGUUUGUUAUUAGCCUAAUUGAAAACACCUUUUAUCUCAAUUAAAAGGAAAAUAAACUUCAAUUCAGCCAGUAACCCAGGUAGCUACGGAUCGUCACAAAUCUGCUCCAUCUCCCACAUUGAAAAAUGCUGCUAUAAUAUUGUCAAUUAAAAGCCAGAUAUAGAAAAGUUAAGGGUAAGGCUAAAACUGAUACUGGAUUGAGAAUCCAAAGUUAUUUCCUGUAAUUUUCUGCAAUGAUAGAAGCUUUGUGGGUGUAAACUAGAAAUUUUAUAUACGGGCGUAUGGAAAAUUUUACCAGGCAUGAUACAUUUUUUUUCCAUGGGAACUACUCCCCCGUUUCAAAUUAAAAGUCAUUCCAAUUUUUUUAGAUUCAAACCAUUUUCUGUUUGACCAAAAUUAUAAAAAGGAUCGCAAAGAUUUAUAGCACCGAAUGGAUAUACUAUAAAAAUAUAUUUAAUGAAAAAACUAAUGGUACUUUAUUUGGUAUCAUGAAUAUUAGUAUUUUAUUGUAUAAAUUUGGUCAAAAUUGAUAUGUUUUGACUCUCAAAAAAAUUAGAAUGACUUAUAAUUCGGAACGGAUGGAGUAGUAGAAUCUAUACCUAAUAUUAAAGUGUAGUUGUUUCUUCCAACCAUUGUGGUUGUUUUAAAAAAAGCCCCUCAACUUUUUCGUAAUCAACUCGCAGUUCUUGGAAUAGUUCAACUUUUCGUAAUCAACUCGCAGUCCUUGGAAUAGUUCUUGAUGAUUUUCGCAACACUAUCCACAAAGCUUCACACCCGCGCAAUAAGCUGUUGGUGCUACCAUCCAAUGCGCCACCGUAAUCAACUCGCAGUCCUUGGAAUAGUUCUUGACGAUUUUCGCAACACUAUCCACAAAGCUUCACACCCGCACAAUAAGCUCCUGGUGCUGCCAUCCAAUGCGCCACCGAGCAUCUUCCACGACGGAUGAAAGGCUCUCGUAACUCGUCAUCUCAUAAGCAUUGCUUGUGAGAACAACAGAAUGCUUAUGAGAACAACAGUUAGCUCCAGAUCUCUCAUGGCGUCCAGGGCUUCUUCCCAUUUCUCGACGACACUCUUCUCCUGGAAGUAUCUAACAUACCCUGGCAUGGUCUGCAUGACCCAUGAACACAGUUUUGUUACUUACUUGAUCAUCACUAGGUAAUUAGCUGAAGAUCCCUUUCCCUCGGAGAGGCCAACCGAGUCUUGGCGAGCGACAGUAGUGCGUGGCAAAACGAGUGGGCUCAGGAGCUCCGUCAGCUGCGAGAGCUUCCCUGCCCGUGAGGUCCGCCAUGAAACGAACGCAGACGCCACCUGACAUUUUCGCUGACCAAACGUGAAUGUUUGGAUGUCAGGCAAUCUAGAGGCGGCAUCAACAGCAGCUGGACACCAAAACCAUACCAAGAUCUUUCCUAGAGCUAUACAUCCAAUGCAACUAUAUGGAACUAUAGAUAGCUUAAUCUCUUGUUCAUCCGAUCUUAGUUAUUCCAAACAUGCACGAGCGAGCGAUAUCAUCUAAAACUAUUUAACUUUGAUCAUCAAAAGUGUGGCGAGGUUUGAGAUACCGAGGAAAGUUAUGCUUGGGCCUUGGAGCAGCUGAACGACGGUUGGUCCUCCAGCUCGUCCAACCGAGCCGGUGUGUUGUGCUUGUCUGAGCUGAUUUGUCAUGGUCAAACUAACAUUAUUAUAUAUAAUUGUUGUAAUGUACGAAUGUCUAAGUUAAUACAUGUCUAAUUUUAAAAAUAGUAUAGCUGCCUACUUCAUAUAAAAAAAAUUUCUUUCCGUGCAACGCACCGGCACAUUUGACGGUUGCCUGGCGCCGUGCCAGAUCUUCACCGGACGAUCAAAUCGCCUCUCCGCAGACAAAACGCAGUUCCGUACCCGUCACUUCACUGUUCCGGUCAAUCCUUCUCCCCUCCCCUCCGCCUCCGCCCUCCGCCAUGCCGCCGGCCGGUAGCCUCACCGCUGACCAGCUCAGCUUCUUCGAGACCAAUGGUGAGCGCGCCGGCCGCUCUCUCAGGCCUAUCUCCUCGACCCCUCGCUCCUGGUCUCCUGGCAAUCGGAGGCGAAUUGAAUGCCGCCGCUCGUAUCGAAGCGGGAACCCUAACUCGUCGCUUUGCUUGGUUCCAGGGUACCUCGUGAUGGAUUCGUUCUCCAGUGAGGAGGAGGUGCGGGAGAUGCGGGACCGCAUGGCCGAGCUCGUCGCUGGGUUCGACGGUGCCAACACCAGCGUUUUCUCCACCAAGGACCAUGUACGCCUCGAUGGGGAUUAGUGUCGAAUCCUUGUUUCCUUCUCUAUAUAACAAACUUCAUAGGCGCGUAGCAUACACAGGUCUCAGUCUCUUUUAAAAUUGCAUUGCUAGAUUUGAAUUCCACGAAUGUUUGCCUUACAAUCUCAAAUUGCAUUGCUAGAUUUGAAUUCCACGCGAUUGAGAAUGUAUUUAUAAAUAGCUUAUGGAAUGUAUUUGCCCAGAUUGAGAAUGAUUCGUUAUGUUGCUUUCACUGCAGCCACAGUUAAAGGAUGACUAUUUCUUCAAGAGCGCAGAGAAUAUCUCAUUCUUCUUUGAGGGUAUGUGAUUUAUCUUGCAUCUGACUUGUAGGGGUGAGGAACUAUUCUGCUUUGUGAACUAUGAACUAUUACUGUUUAUAGGUUAUGUAGCUCAUAGUUAGUUUGUUAAAAGAAAAAGGGCCUUUCUACUGUAACUAUGUUACUACUAGUUUUGUUAUUGCUCUACUUCUUCCUAACCUUUAAAAGUUUGACAUAGAUGGUGAAAAAUUGUAUUAGUACAUUUUUUUGCUAUUUGUAUGAUGGAGUACCCUUUUUUAUUUCACACUUUUUCACUCACAGAAAAGGCGUAUGGAGAUGAUGGAUGCUUGAAACAGGCAAAAGAACUUUCAAUUAAUAAAGUUGGGCAUGGUAAGUAUGUACACGGUGCAAUCAGAUUCAGUGAGAACUGAGAAAGCAUAAUGUAACAAGUUGCUGCAUUUCAUUUUCAUUGCAUUAUGUUAUAUUUUAUUCUGAGCCUACCUCUUUAGAGUUGCCUUUAAUUUUGUUGUUUGCAAUUCCUGUAAUCUAACUAGGUUGAAUUAAACAUCUAUAUGGUUCAAUUUUUUUUUUGUGACAAUAUAACCUCCCCUGCUUUACAAUAGUUACUAUCUUCCAUGUUGUUAAUGUAUUUUUUAAGCCAUUGAAGAAGAAAGGCCUGGAUACUUGUUCGCUUCAGCUUAUAAGCCGACUAAAAAGCUGAAACGGCUGAUUUGUUGUGAGAGGAAAAUACUGUUUGGUGGCUGAUAAGCCAGCUGAAUAAGUUGAAGCGAACAGACCCAUAGUAUGGCUUCUAGGUUUCUAACCUUCACCAUCUUGUAUGAUAUGCAGCAUUACAUGAACUUGAUCCUGUGUUCAAAAAGUUUUGUUCCUCGAAGAGUAUCGCUAGCUUGUUCUCUUCUCUAGGCUACAAGAGGCCUGCAGUUAUGCAAUCUAUGUACAUCUUUAAGGUAGAUUUUGCAGGCUCUACUCCUUUUCCUUUUGACAUGAUAUUCAAUUUAUUGAUUCCCUUUUUGUGUAUUUUCUUUUUCGUAGCAACCAGGUAUUGGUGGUGAGGUGGUGCCGCACCAGGAUAGUACAUUCCUUUACACAGAACCUAGAACAUGCACAGGGUUGUGGCUUGCACUUGAAGAUGCAACAAUUAACAAUGGUUGCCUGUGGGCAAUUCCAGGAUCACAUAAAAGUAUGUCUUUUAUCCAAUUAUUUUAUGCCAAAAAAUCUUCUUUUAGAAAGUGGAACUGUCUAACGUUUGUUAUCUUCAAUGUUUUAUAUCAGAGGGUCUGGUAAGGCGAAUGAUCAGAGAUGAAAAUGGUACUCAUUUUGAUCGCCCUUCCCCAUCCUAUGAUCAGAAAGAAUUUGUACCGCUGGAAGUAAAAUCAGGGGCUUUGGUGGUUAUACACGGUGAUCUUAUACAUCAGAGGUGGAAUUCUCCUUUAUAUUACUAUAUACUGCUUCUUAGUUGUGAUGUACUGUUUCAGCUUUUUUAAUAAUGUGUUUUUUAACUUUUUUUGUACAGCUUUGAGAAUCUUUCUCCAGCGUCAAGACAUGCUUUCAGCUUACACGUAGUUGAUACUGAAGGAUGUGAAUGGUCCAAGGACAACUGGUUAGUUCAUAAGACACUACUGAAGAGUGCUUCUUUACAAUACUUUUUUUGUUAGCGCUAGUCUCUAGAAGAUCUUGACUUAAUUGACUAUCAGCAUCGAAAUUUAGAAAUGCUUAUGUACAAGUCUUAUUAUGUCUUCAAGCUUGUAUCUGACAUGACCAGCACUGUUUUCCUCCUAAAUCAAGCUACUGGCAACUGUGUCAUUGUCUGUGAUUGGUACAUUUGAAUGAUUGUUUGCAUUUUGCAGUAACCAAGAACAUAUUAGCGCUUUGGUUAUUUGCGUAGAAAAAACAAAAUAACUUAUGAUCUGGAUACAAGCUGCCAUUUUCUCAUCAGGGCUGCUGCUUAUCUUAUUAAGCUGUAGAUCAGUUGGAGACUGAUGAGUGAUGAUAGUAUGUUGUUUCUGUUUACAAUGUUGCUCUUGGAUGAAUCGAUAAUAGUGGUGACAGUUAAUACAGGGGAUAAUAGGGUGGUGUUUCAACGAGAUGGUACACCCAUCAUUAAAUAUGAAACUAGGCAACCCUGAGUUUCUGGGUGUUGCUGAACAUGCACAUUGAUGUCAACAUAGUUUUUGCGUUUCCCUCAUUUUACUAACACGUCUGCUUUGUUUUUUUUCUUAUCAGGAUACAGAGGAAAACUGCCCCAGAACCGCUUUAUGUAUCUUAGACAAACCAUCCAGUUACCAGUAGUGCUGUAAAAAAACAGAGAUUCCCAGCAAGUGAUUUGUGUCGCAUAUCAUUGUCGCAAUAAAAUUGGGGUAUCCUGCCGUGCCAUGAUGUUUUCCUUUCACUUUUCAGCAUGUAAAUACCCUUCCUUUUGGUACUGUGUUCCCAUGGAUAUAUCAUAUUUAGCAUACAAUAAAUGCCCAUUAUCAAUAUCGUGUCGAAUUCCCUUCGCACAAACUAAGAAGGGAACAACACAAGCUCACUUUUCAAUUGAUCAUGGGAUGCUGCUACUGUCUGUUUUUGGCGAGGGAAGUGUGGAAACGAAGCCAUCUCGCUUCAGAUUUCUGGUCCAGUUGCCGUGCUUUUUCAUUUUGUUCCUCGCCGUCGAAUCCGCUUUGUAGUUUCGGCUAGGAAGGACGCAAUACGUGGAACUCCCAAAUAUCUGUAUGCAUCCCAAUGAAGGACGGUUCACACUUGACAGCGAUGUGUGUACAUGAUCUGUAUGACUCUUAGAUGAUAUCAGCAUUUCCGUGGGUGCGCAUAUGCCCUCAAGAAACAAACAAGCUGCACGAUCACGAAAUCGACCCGGCACCAGUACACGUACAAGAUCUCAAAUCAAGGUUCUGAUCCUAGCUCCCAAAGGACACUGCAUACAUCUAUUUCUAACGACGCGAGUUGCAUACACUUGUGCACAGUGUAGAAUACAGAUUAUCAACAAACCAAAACCAGCACGAGCAAGCUUAAUUUCUUUAUACUUAUACAGUAAUACAGUGAUAGUGAGACGAGAUAUGAGUUAACAUUAAGCCAAAAAACACCCAAACCCAAGUUUUUUUUUUAUCGCCAUAUGCCCAUAUACCUUGUCGUAAGUUUUGGCCGAGCUGGGAGAGCCCGUAGCUAGGUAGCACACAAGCCGCCA